This 54317-nucleotide long non-coding RNA is filed under the name Gossypium raimondii (Peruvian cotton). RNAcentral's name for it is "long non-coding RNA (GRAI_LNC007868)". Lineage: Eukaryota; Viridiplantae; Streptophyta; Magnoliopsida; Malvales; Malvaceae. The record is from RNAcentral.
UUUUUUUUUUUUGUCAUUUCGUGCCCAUGACUAGGCCUAUAAUCGUUAAAUGCCUUAUAUUCCGCUUCUUCGUUCAUGUUUAUAUCAUUUGACAUUGGUCUGAAAUUCUUCUAUCUUUACAUCUUAGUCAUAUAGAUGUAUUGUAAAUGAAUACUCUUGUUUUGCACUUGAAAUUUGGUGAUUGAUUGAAUGACGUUUGGAUACUUUUUGUUUGCUAAUGGUCACUCCAUGGAUAUUGGCGUUUUUUAAAACUUUUUUGGACACUGCUAUGUGACAAAUGUUUCUCAAUUUUCUUUCUUCUUGAAACAAAAAGAAAAAAAUUUGAGGAAGAGAGGUUGAAUAAUGAUGUUGGUGUCUUAACAAGUUUGGUAAUUGUUGAUUUUCAUGGAAAUUAAUUAAAGAUUGGAUGAAACGAUUGUGUGUACUUAAUUGGAAAAUAUUCACAUCUAUUGCUUGGAUUGGAAGUCUUAAGGGCUAUAAUUUUAUAUACAUUCCUUUUCUGGCUUUUGACUGGCAAUAGCAGGGGUUAAGCGUUCGGAUACCUUUAAAGCAUGAUGGUGAAAGUGUUGAAGAGAACGGGAGUAUUGGCCUUCAUUUGAUUAGUUGUUUUAUUUCUGCUGCUAUGUAUUCAGUUAAAGGGAUUUUGCAGAGUUAAUUUUAUUGGCUUUGGUAGAGUUCAUUGUAUGCUGCAAGUUUUUGAGACUAGAAUGACUUGGAUUCUCCAUGGCCUUUUUCUGUAUUUGUUAAUGGUUGAGAAAAAAAAACAAUACCAAGUGUUAAUUUCAUUUUAAAAAGGUCGAAAACGUGGAUCAUAGACGGCUUUAAUUUCAAUUUCAGAAUAGACCCUUUGGUUUUCUUCUUCAUCUUGCGCCAUUGACCUUGCUACCAUUCUGCCAAGUUUCUUUCUUUUUAUUAAAUCCUAUUUAUUUUUAUUUCCUUUAUUUAUUUAAGGUUGAUCAAUUUCGGUGUUUGAGUUGUGAGACACGAAUCUAUAUUUAAUCCUUUUUACUUUAUCAUUCGAUUUUUUUUCUGCAUCAAAGAUAGAUAGGAUCAUCUCACAAUAUUCUUUUCGGCAUUAUUUCGAGAAAGGCCCUUGUACGGUGUUGAAAAUAAUUCAUAGUUGGUAAAAAUUAGUUUGAUUCGUAAUUGUCAAAAAAACAAGUUGACGUGAUUCAAUUAAGAGUGCAGUUUGGUGACACCACGGGAAUUAGUAAUCUUAUUAAUUUAAAUGAUCCAUACAAUUUAGAUAAUUAAUUAUAGUUGGGUUGUUUUAAUUUGCAAGGCUAUCAAGGAAUAAAUCCUAAAAGAUACUUUCUGGGUUAUUUGCUCAAUAAAAGUUAAUUGUAGGGUUGUUCUCACCAUUAAUUUACUGUUAAAACUAAAUUGAUGAUCUAAUCAACAUGUGAGAAGACAUUGGUAGUAUGUGAAUCCAUUUUUAAACCCAAGUUUAUUUUAUUUAAUUUCAUGUCCACACUUUAUUUACUAUUUUAUUUCUCGAGAUAUUAAUUAUAUCAAACAAACAUUUGUUUGCAGAAGAUAAAAUAAUUUAUAAAAUCAGCACAUCAAUCACAUGUAAUAUAUAAUAUCAAAUAAAUUAAAAGUCAAUGGUCAAUAUUCAGACGAAAACAGAAACACUGGGGGGAGGAAACUUCCAAUCUAAAAUAAUUAGACCAAGAUUCUGUUGCGUGAUCAAGAUUUGUGUUCUUUUUAAUAUUACCACGGACAAAUCAAUCAUGUAUUAUAUAAAAUGUUUGGGACAAUAAAUUAUUUUCAUGUCUGCGGGUUUUCUCACUAUAAACCUUUCUGUUUUCUUAAUAAAAUUGAGGUAACAAUUCUAUAGUUUCAUCUACAUUUCGCCCCAGAAAUUAUAGUAAAACAGAGACAAUGAAAGGAACAUUGAUGAUGAGUUGGAUUCUGAUCAUCUGCCUCUCCCAAGUAGCAGUGCGGAGCCAAUACUACUCAGAUACCCUACCAUAUCAUCCCAGGCCACCUAAGGUCACCAAUCUUCACUUCUUUAUGCACGAACUUACGGGUGUUACAGCAGUCGUGCUAACCCAAGCUAACAUCACAAGCAAUAAUUCAUCAGUGCCAUUUGCUACCCUAGUUGCUGUUAAUGAUCCCCUCAGGACUGGCCCUGAGCCUGACUCAGAGGUGAUUGGAAAUGUUCAGGGUAUUUCCCUUUUAGCCGGAUCAAAUGCAUCGAGCACGCAGUACAUAGAAUUUGGAUUUAAUACCGGUAAGUUUAACGGCAGCUCUCUAAGCGUAUUUUCAAGGGGAGAACCAGGGCUUGCGGUGGUCGGAGGAAGAGGGCGGUUCAUGAUGGCAACAGGGACUGCACUAUUUAACCCUAUCCUUAUAAAUGCCACCAAUGUCAUUAUGGAAUUUAACGUUACUGUAGUUCAUUACUAAGAUGUUAUUUACAGACUCAAUUCUCUUGGAUUGUGAAAAAGUCAUAUGAUUCCACUCCACUUGGAUAGAAUAAAUGUAUGAGAUUAACAUUCUCAUACGUCAUCAUUGUACUUUAUUAUUUUAUUACAAAUAUAUUUAUUCAGUAUUUAUCUUCAUCUCUGCUAGAGGUUGGUUUACGCAAAAGCUGAGAAAAGUUUACUUUGCUCAAUAUAUCAUAACAGAUAUAUUGUUGUGUUGAGAUGAAUAAAUCUUGAGACGUUGGAAUGACUUCAAUUCCAAGGAAAUGAUUCAAAUCACCAACACCUUUACUCGAAAAUCUCUCCACCGAAGUUUGAGCAAAGUAAAAAAGAAAACUUUUAUUACUUAAUUUUAUUGAUACAAAAACUUGUUUGAAUCAAUAAAUUUGGAUUUAACUAUACUUAAAGCCUCUAAUUAUCAAUAAAUCCAAACAUAAUGUCAAAUUUAACUCUUAAUGUUUAUAUUUUUUACUCAUUUUGAUUUUUAUUCUUUUUUUUUUUAAAUUAAAUUUUAGCUUCAACCUUUUUAAAGGGGUCAAAUUUGACCACCAACAUCUAAAAAAGAGUCAAAUCGAAUUGUCAUAUUUGUAUAAAGUAUAUGUAAGUUUUCACUUCAACAUCAUUAAAAAAUUAAUGACCUUACCUGCACCAGUAUAUGGGACACUAUUUGUCACACUGAAACCAUCUCGAGUGAGAUGAGAAGUGCCCCUUGAAUCAGGAAACCUGACAUGCUCUCCAACAAUAGAGCAUUCACAGAAGCAGAAGAACCAUUUGUAGAAACAAAAGCACCUGCUACAUUCUAUUUGUUGUCAUUAUCAACAUCACCCAUUGAGCAAAGAUUAGCACUUGUACCUCUCUAUGACCUACAUUAGGCUUAAGAAAACCGAUAAAAGAAGUAUCAAAACGAUAAUAGCACUUUUGUACACUGUGCCCAAUUUUCCACACAAAUGGCACUGACAUCAGUUUGAAAAAUGGCCUCUGCCUUGACCUCGAUGAAAUGAACCUCCUCUGCCUCAAUAUCCAACUGAAGCAGACACACCUUCUGUGGGCCACUGAUAACCCUGUGCUCCAUGAGAAGUAGACUGACUUGUGAUUAACAUGAAGAGUCUAGCCAUAGCACCUAACUCUGCCUAGCUUCAAGGUCAAUCAGGAUCGAAGACAAAGCAGGUACAUCAUAGGCUUGUUUGCUACUGAUGAUUAAGGUGACCACCGAAUCAAAUUCACUAGGUAAACCAUUAAGAAUAGCUGCAAUAUGCUUUGCAUCAGAUAUCUUUUCUCCACAUAUACAAAGAUUAUCCUUAAUCAAUUUAAGUUGUCUCAAAUAAUCACGCAUGUUUUGAUCCCCCUUCUUUUGAAGGUACAAAGAAUACUGAAGAUUCAUAAUCUUGGUAAUUGUUUUAGCAGAAUACAACCGACCAAUGACUUCCCAAAUUUCAACAACCGAUUAACGCAUAACCAAAUCUAGUAAAAUCUCAGGACUGACUACAGAAAGUAACCAAGAUGCUAUGGCUUUAUCUUGUUUAUUAAAUGAAACUCUUUCAGGAUUUUUAACUAGAUGGCCAGACUCAUCAAAAACAAACUCAAGAGGUAUAGCCUGAGUACCAUCAAUGUAAGACUUCAAACCAUAACUCUCCAAAGCAAAAGAAACUUACUGUUUCCACAGUGUUAAGAGUAUAGAUAAGAACUGUGCUAACUAAAUCUGUUAUUGAGCUAGCCUAUUAGUUGUUAGUUUGUUAGUCAAACAGUUAAGUUGUUAGCAAUAGCAGUUACUCAUAUAUUCUAUAUAUACCAUUGCUAUAAUGUACAAACUCAAUAUACAAGAAUAAAUACAAAUAAUUUUCUUAUUACUCAAUUCAUUCUAUUCUUUCAAUACAUAGUAUAGUUUCACUCAUUCAAUACACAAUACAUUUACAACUCACCAUAAGUGUUAACAAAGGGUGUCUUCAUCUUUGUCAGGGAAAGUACAUUCGCGAUCUACUUGACAGGAGCUCUAUGUUACAUGCAAAGAGCGUCCAUACUCCAAUGGUUAGCUCAUCUACUCUAUCCAAGGAUGGCGGGGAUCAUCUUUGUGAUCCUACUGAAUACAGAAGCAUUGCAGGUGCUUUACAGUAUGUGGUCCUGACUCGUCCUGAUAUUGCUUAUGCCGUAAAUAGUAUCUGCAGUUCAUGCAUGCACCUACUACUGUCCAUCUGGUUGCCUUAAAACGAAUCAUGCGAUAUUUAUGUGGUACACUUGGUUAUGGGAUUAUUUUUUGUCCAUCUGACUGGCUUUCUUUAGUUGGUUUUGCGGAUUCUAACUGGGGGCUAGAUUUUGAUGAUCGACACUCUACGAUGAGCUACUGUGUGUACUUUGGUCACACACUUGUCUCCUAGUGUUCCAAGAAACAGCAUGUAGUUUCACGGUCUACGGCUGAGGCUGAAUAUCAGAGUCUUGCUACAACUACUAGUGAUAUUGCUUGGUUAGUCUCGUUACUAAGGGAGUUACAUCUUAAGAGUAUUGAUCUACCGACCAUUUGGUGUGACAACUCUAGUGCAGUUGGCGUAGCUAGUAAUCCUUUCUUACAUUCCAAAUUCAAACAUGUCAAGCUUGAUUUAUUUUUUGUUCACGAAAAGGUAGCAGGUGGCUCUGUUAUUGUUGGUGAGGUCCCUGCCUAUGAGCAAGUUGUUGACAUUCUUACCAAGCCACUCUCUGUAUCGUACUUUGUUUAAUUUCGGAAUCUUUUUCAGGUUUUACCUACCGGAAAAAUGGGUGAACGUUAAGAGUAUAGAUAAGAACUGUGCUAGCAAACUCUGUUAUUGAGCUAUUCUAUUAGCUAUUAGUUUGUUAUUCAAGCAGUUAAGUUGUUAGCAAUGGCAGUUACUCAUAUAUUCUAUAAACAGCAUUGCUAUAAUGUACAAACUCAAUAUACAAGACUAAAUACAAAUAAUUCUCUUAUUACUCAAUACAUUCUAUUCUUUCAAUACUUAUUAUAGUUUCAUUCAUUCAAUACACAAUACAUUUACAACUCACCGUAGGUGUUAACACACAGGAUAAUUGAUUUCAUCAAGCUGAAUAUUGAUCGUCUUGUUAGUGAAGUUCUUGGAAACAUUGGUGGAACUGCUACCAGCAACUUCUCGAUCUUCUGCCAUUACAAAUUUCAGGGAAAAAAACUUUCAAAAAACCAGCUCAGGUACCGUAUUAGAAGACUAGAAAAGAGAUGAAUAGAGAAAGCAAUAUUGUAUUACAUAUUACAAACUUACACAGAGAUAAGCAACCAUAUAUAUACAGGAAGAGAAUCAAGAAAGUAUAACAAAGAUGAAUAAUUGUAGCUAACUAACAUUACCUAACUAACUAAUAGUCUAACAGACUGAGCCAACUAUAUAUUUACUGCUAACACGUAGAGACAUUUAUUGUUUUCUUUUCUCUAUUUCCUUUUUCUUUUGUUUAAGAUGUUGUUAAAUCUUCUAACGCAAAAUGAGAUGACAACUCAAGCACCCCACCACGGUUACACGAUUCGAUACAUCUCUAAACAACCAUUUUUCUCUACUUAUGACACCGUGAUUAGAGUAAUUUAUUGACUUGAAAUAUCACUCGGACCUUUUGAAGCGAAGUGAAAUGACAAUCAAAGCACCCCAUCCUAGUUACUCUAUCUGUCACAAUUCACAAGUUCUUACUCAUAAUUUAAGCUGUCAGUGAAGUAUCCUUUUUUCCUUCUGUUUUCUCUUCUGUUUUGUUUUUCUUUGUCGUUUUUCCAAAUGAGCAAUUUGUCUAAGCGAGUAUAGAAAAUGUCAAAUUCCAUGAGACAUGUAUUAGCACACAAUUCAGUUCCAAAUUUAACAAAUUCCAAUAGAGUAUUGCAAGAGUGUGGAAGAUUUAGGCAAGAUUGCAAGCCUCACAGUUCUCUCUUGGGUUGAUUAGUGUCCCUGUUGAAGUUGGUCAGCAUGAAGCCAACACUCGAUUCCAUACAGGCCAUGAAGACCAAGCAAAGCUGGAACAGAUGCAAGAGCUGCUGAUGCAAGCUCAUUUUGUUCAUUUUGUUAUAUUUAGUUGAUGAAAUGAGUGUUAGUUCAUUUCUAACUAAGUUAGCUUUCUGAUUGAUGUAAUUAGCUUAUGUAUGAGCUGUAAACACAGUUUUGUACAAGUUUACAAGCUAAGAUUUCAAGUUUCUAUGUAAUUAGUGGAGGUAGGUAAUUACUUGUUGAUUUUGACAAGCCUUAUGCUUGAGUUAUGUACUGGCUUCAAGCCAUUGUUUUAUGUAUGAAUCAAAUCAGUUUUGUUCAUCAAUAUUCUCUCAAAUUUCCCCAGCUUAUUCUCUUCUUUCUUUAACUCGAAAUUGUUUGUUUGCUCAGCAAGUUUCGAGGCUUGCUCGACAAGAUACUUGCUGAGUCUGCUUGAUUCUGUUGUUGCACCAACAAUUGGUAUCUAGAGCUUAUUUCUUAAGGGACCUGUUAUACAAAACCAUGGCUUCAUCAAGCUUUUCACCAGCUGCACCUCAAGUAUUCAAUGGAGAAGGCUAUCACAUAUGGGUGGUCAAAAUGAAGACUUACCUGCAGGCUUAUGAUCUGUGGGAGGUGGUCAACUCAGAUGUUGAACCAGAACCACUUAGAGGCAAUCCAACAGUGGCUCAGAUCAGGCAGCAUGCUGAUGAGAGGACCAAGAGGCACAAGGCCAUGUCUUGCAUUCAGAACUCAGUGUCAGAUGUGAUUUUCACAAGGAUUAUGGCCUGUGAAUCACCAAAACAGGCCUGGGAUAAGUUGCAAGAAGAGUUUCAAGGGACAGAGAGGACAAGGCAGCAACAGUUACUGAAUUUGAGGAGAGAUUUCGAGAAUUUAAAGAUGAAGGAAGAAGAAACUGUCAAGCAAUAUUCUGACAGGAUUAUGGCUGUGGUUAAUAGCAUCAGGCUCCUUGGAGAGCAGUUUAAUGAAGCUAGGAUAGUGGAGAAAGUAAUAGCAACUCUGCCUGAGAGGUAUGAGGCAAAAAUCUCAUCUCUCGAGGACUCAAGAGAUCUGUCCACCAUUCCCCUGACUGAGUUGAUCAAUGCUCUAUAUGCUCAAGAGCAGAGGAGAGCAAGUAGACUGGAAGAGCAUCAAGAAGGUGCCUUUCAGGCAAGGACAAAUACUGCCUAUAAAGGCAAGAAGGCCUGGAGAGACAAGCCAAAGAAUGAUGCUGCGAGAAGAGAAGGUCAAACUUGCAAGCACUGCAGAAGGGCUGGUCAUCCAGAAGAAAAAUGCUGGUUCAAUCCAGAUGCUGUGUGUCAGCAUUGUAAGAAGAAGGGUCAUGUUGAGAGAGUUUGCAAGAGCAAGACCAAAUCAAGACAGAACCAGUCUCAACAGAUGAAAGCUGAGGCUCGAGUAGCUAAGGAGGACAGUGACCAAGAGGAGCAAGUCUUUGCUGUGUCAUGCUCAGCUGCUCAGGAAAGGCUCUCAUCUGGUUGGCUCCUAGACAGUGGAUGCACCAAUCACAUGACACCUGAUGCUGCAAUCUUCAAGUUUUUAGACAGAAACUGUAAAACCAAAGUCAAAAUUGGUAAUGGGCACUUUAUUCAAGCUGAAGGUAAAGGUGAUGUGCUGAUAUGCACUCCCACAGGUGCCAAAAUGAUCUCAAAUGUGCUCCUGGUGCCUGAAAUUGACAGAAACCUACUCAGCAUAGCUCAAUUGCUAGAGAAAGGUUACUCUGUGGUGUUCAAGGACAAGCAGUGCCAAAUCAGUGAUCCAAGUGGAUCCAAACUGAUGGCAGUCCCUAUGGCUGAUAAGAGCUUUGUGGUUGACUGGACAAAGAAGUCAGACAUUGCCUACACAGCCACAUCAGAUGAAUCUAACUUGUGGCAUCAAAGGCUGGGACAUGCCAACUUCAGAUCGAUGGCCCGAAUGGUCAGAGAAGACCUGGCUGAAAACUUCAUCAACUCAGUGGAUCAUGAUGAUGUGUGUGAAGUGUGUCAGCUAGGAAAACAGGCCAGAUUGCCAUUUCCCAUGAAUCAAGCCUGGAGAGCCUCUGAAAAACUCCAACUGGUGCACACUGAUGUGUGUGGCCCUAUGAGGACUGAGUCACUAAGUGGAAACAGGUAUUUCAUACUGUUUAUUGAUGAUUUCUCUAGAUAUUGCUGGCUUUACUUCUUAAAACAGAAAUCAGAAGUGGCCACUGUGUUUUGGAAGUUUAAAACUGCUGCUGAGACAGAAACAGGCUGCAAGCUUAAGACCAUAAGGUCUGAUAAUGGGACUGAGUACACCUCAGCUCAGUUCCAAGCCUUCUGUGAUAAGGCAGGCAUCAAACACCAGCUUACCAACACUUAUACACCUCAACAGAAUGGUGUAAGUGAAAGGAAGAAUAGGAGCUUAAUGGAUAUGGCCAGGUGCUUAAUGAUUCAGAAGAAUCUGCCUAAAGCACUAUGGGCAGAAGCAGUUAACACUGCAACAUACAUUCAAAAUAGACUUCCAACCAAGGCUUUGGAUCAGAAGACUCCAUUCGAGGCCUGGUUUGGCUUCAAGCCAUCACUGGCUCAUCUGAAGGUCUUUGGAUGCAUAUGUUACACACAUGUACCUGCUGUUAAAAGAGACAAAUUGUCUGAAAGGGCUCGACCUGGUCUUCUGGUGGGCUACAGCACUGUUAAGAAGGGCUAUAGGAUCUUGGAUCCUUCAACAAACAAAGUGUCAGUAAGCAGGGAUGUGGUAUUUGAUGAAAGAUCAUGUUGGAACUGGGAAAGGCAUGAACCUGAGGAAGUUUCUGAAGAACUUACAGCAAAACAAGCUGAGCCAGAACAAAGUGUUCCUGAAAUGGACAUUGAUGAUGAACCAGUCAGAGGAACAAGAUCAAUGACUGAGAUUUAUCAAAGGGCUCAUAUAGCCAUAGCUGAACCAAGUAACUUUGAAGAGGCUGAAGCUCAGCAAGAGUGGAAGCAGGCAAUGGCUGAGGAGAUCAGCAUGAUUGAGAAGAACCAGACCUGGGAAUUGGUUGAAAGGCCAGUCAAAAGGAAGGUGAUUGGGGUGAAAUGGGUGUACAAAGCCAAGCAGAAUGCUGAUGGAACCUUGAACAAACUGAAAGCAAGGUUGGUUGUCAAGGGGUUCAGUCAGAGGUAUGGCUUGGACUACCUGGAGACCUUUGCACCAGUGGCCAGGCUCGACACCAUCAGACUGCUGAUUGCCUUAGCAGCCCAGCUCGAAUGGAAAAUUCAUCAACUCGAUGUGAAAUCAGCCUUUCUGAAUGGUUUUUUAGAUGAAGACAUCUAUGUUGAACAACCACAAGGGUUUGAAAUAGCUGGGAGAGAGCAUAUGGUCUACAAAUUGAAGAAGGCCCUAUAUGGCUUAAAACAGGCUCCAAGGGCCUGGUACAGCAGAAUCGAUGGCUACUUGACUGAUCUGGGAUUCAAUCGAAGCAAGAGUGAGCCAACACUGUAUGUUAAGAAGCAAGGGACACAAACACAACUCAUUGUGUCCCUAUAUGUUGAUGACCUGCUGGUGACAGGAGGAGAUCGAGCAGUGCUGGUUAAUUUCAAGACCAAGAUGCAAGAGGUGUUUGAAAUGUCUGAUCUUGGGGAGAUGUCCUAUUUUCUUGGAAUGGAGGUGACUCAAGCACAGAAUGGGAUAUUUUUAAGUCAGAAGAGCUUUGCCACAAAGAUUCUGACCAAGNNNNNNNNNNNNNNNNNNNNNNNNNNNNNNNNNNNNNNNNNNNNNNNNNNNNNNNNNNNNNNNNNNNNNNNNNNNNNNNNNNNNNNNNNNNNNNNNNNNNNNNNNNNNNNNNNNNNNNNNNNNNNNNNNNNNNNNNNNNNNNNNNNNNNNNNNNNNNNNNNNNNNNNNNNNNNNNNNNNNNNNNNNNNNNNNNNNNNNNNNNNNNNNNNNNNNNNNNNNNNNNNNNNNNNNNNNNNNNNNNNNNNNNNNNNNNNNNNNNNNNNNNNNNNNNNNNNNNNNNNNNNNNNNNNNNNNNNNNNNNNNNNNNNNNNNNNNNNNNNNNNNNNNNNNNNNNNNNNNNNNNNNNNNNNNNNNNNNNNNNNNNNNNNNNNNNNNNNNNNNNNNNNNNNNNNNNNNNNNNNNNNNNNNNNNNNNNNNNNNNNNNNNNNNNNNNNNNNNNNNNNNNNNNNNNNNNNNNNNNNNNNNNNNNNNNNNNNNNNNNNNNNNNNNNNNNNNNNNNNNNNNNNNNNNNNNNNNNNNNNNNNNNNNNNNNNNNNNNNNNNNNNNNNNNNNNNNNNNNNNNNNNNNNNNNNNNNNNNNNNNNNNNNNNNNNNNNNNNNNNNNNNNNNNNNNNNNNNNNNNNNNNNNNNNNNNNNNNNNNNNNNNNNNNNNNNNNNNNNNNNNNNNNNNNNNNNNNNNNNNNNNNNNNNNNNNNNNNNNNNNNNNNNNNNNNNNNNNNNNNNNNNNNNNNNNNNNNNNNNNNNNNNNNNNNNNNNNNNNNNNNNNNNNNNNNNNNNNNNNNNNNNNNNNNNNNNNNNNNNNNNNNNNNNNNNNNNNNNNNNNNNNNNNNNNNNNNNNNNNNNNNNNNNNNNNNNNNNNNNNNNNNNNNNNNNNNNNNNNNNNNNNNNNNNNNNNNNNNNNNNNNNNNNNNNNNNNNNNNNNNNNNNNNNNNNNNNNNNNNNNNNNNNNNNNNNNNNNNNNNNNNNNNNNNNNNNNNNNNNNNNNNNNNNNNNNNNNNNNNNNNNNNNNNNNNNNNNNNNNNNNNNNNNNNNNNNNNNNNNNNNNNNNNNNNNNNNNNNNNNNNNNNNNNNNNNNNNNNNNNNNNNNNNNNNNNNNNNNNNNNNNNNNNNNNNNNNNNNNNNNNNNNNNNNNNNNNNNNNNNNNNNNNNNNNNNNNNNNNNNNNNNNNNNNNNNNNNNNNNNNNNNNNNNNNNNNNNNNNNNNNNNNNNNNNNNNNNNNNNNNNNNNNNNNNNNNNNNNNNNNNNNNNNNNNNNNNNNNNNNNNNNNNNNNNNNNNNNNNNNNNNNNNNNNNNNNNNNNNNNNNNNNNNNNNNNNNNNNNNNNNNNNNNNNNNNNNNNNNNNNNNNNNNNNNNNNNNNNNNNNNNNNNNNNNNNNNNNNNNNNNNNNNNNNNNNNNNNNNNNNNNNNNNNNNNNNNNNNNNNNNNNNNNNNNNNNNNNNNNNNNNNNNNNNNNNNNNNNNNNNNNNNNNNNNNNNNNNNNNNNNNNNNNNNNNNNNNNNNNNNNNNNNNNNNNNNNNNNNNNNNNNNNNNNNNNNNNNNNNNNNNNNNNNNNNNNNNNNNNNNNNNNNNNNNNNNNNNNNNNNNNNNNNNNNNNNNNNNNNNNNNNNNNNNNNNNNNNNNNNNNNNNNNNNNNNNNNNNNNNNNNNNNNNNNNNNNNNNNNNNNNNNNNNNNNNNNCAUGAAGCCAACACUCGAUUCCAUACAGGCCAUGAAGACCAAGCAAAGCUGGAACAGAUGCAAGAGCUGCUGAUGCAAGCUCAUUUUGUUCAUUUUGUUAUAUUUAGUUGAUGAAAUGAGUGUUAGUUCAUUUCUAACUAAGUUAGCUUUCUGAUUGAUGUAAUUAGCUUAUGUAUGAGCUGUAAACACAGUUUUGUACAAGUUUACAAGCUAAGAUUUCAAGUUUCUAUGUAAUUAGUGGAGGUAGGUAAUUACUUGUUGAUUUUGACAAGCCUUAUGCUUGAGUUAUGUACUGGCUUCAAGCCAUUGUUUUAUGUAUGAAUCAAAUCAGUUUUGUUCAUCAAUAUUCUCUCAAAUUUCCCCAGCUUAUUCUCUUCUUUCUUUAACUCGAAAUUGUUUGUUUGCUCAGCAAGUUUCGAGGCUUGCUCGACAAGAUACUUGCUGAGUCUGCUUGAUUCUGUUGUUGCACCAACAGUCCCCAAGCCCAGAAUAGCGCUUUAGUUACUCGAGAAAAAGAGAAAAAUUGGCAGAACGGUGGUGGUGAAUUCCACAACCUGCUUUGCGCAAAAAAACAAAGAAAAUUAAUUAGACCAUGUUUUUGAUUUCUAAUAAAUUUCUAGAUUCGCUGUUAAUUUCUGAAGGAGAUUUAGAAAAAAAAAAGAGAGAUUUCAUAUCUAACAAACAUUUGUUUGCAGAAGAUAAAAUAAUUAAUUAAAUCAACACAUGUAAUAUAUAAUAUUCACACGAAAACAGAAACGCUGGGGGAGGAAACUUCCUAUCUAAAAUAAUUAGACCAAGUUUCUGUUGAGUGAUCAAGGUUUGUGCUCUUUUUAAUAUUACCACGUGGAAAUCAAUCAUGUAUUAUAUAAAAUGUUUGGGACAAUAAAUUAUUUUCAUGUCUGCGGGUUUUAUCACUAUAAAUCUUUCUGUUUUCUUAAUAAAAUUGAAGCAACAAUUCUAUAGCUUUCAUCUACAUUUCGCCCCAGAAAUUAUAGUAAAGCAGAGACAAUGAAAGGAACAUUGAUGUUGAGUUGGAUUCUGAUCAUCUUCCUCUCCCAAGUAGCAGUGCGGAGCCAAUACUACUCAGAUACACUACCAUAUCAUCCCAGGCCACCUAAGGUCACCAAUCUUCACUUCUUUAUGCACGAACAUACGGGUGUUACAGCAGUCGUGGUAGCCCAAGCUAACAUCACAAGCAAUAAUUCAUCAGUGACAUUUGCUACCCUAGUUUCCGUUAAUGAUCCCCUCAGGACUGGUCCUGAGCCUGACUCAGAGGUGAUUGGAAAUGUUCAGGGUAUUUCGCUCUUGGCUGGAUCAAAUGCAUCGAGCACGCAGUACAUAGAAUUUGGAUUUAAUACCGGUAAGUUUAAUGGCAGCUCUCUAAGCAUAUUUUCAAGAGGAGAACCUGGGCUUGCGGUGGUUGGAGGAAGAGGACGAUUCAUGAUGGCAAAAGGGAUUGCACUAUUUAACCCUAUCCUUAUAAAUGCCACCAAUGUCAUUAUGGAAUUUAACGUUACUGUAAUUCAUUACUAAGAUGUUAUUUACAGACGCAAUCCUUUUGAAUUGUGCUCCACUUGAUUAGAAUACUUGUAUGAGAAAUAUAUAUAUAUAUAUAUAUAUAUAUAUAUGAUCUGAUUAAAAUAUAUAAUUCUCAUGUUUCAUCAUUGUACUUUAUCAUUAUAAGAGAAAUAAAGGUUAAAUUCUUAGCUACUAAAAAUGACACAUAAAUAUAUCUAUUCAGUAUUUAUCUUCAUCUCUGAUAGAGGUUGAUUUAUGCAAAAAUUGGAAAACACUGCUAUUUUAUCAUUUUGUCCCUUCAGAAACCAAUAUAAAAGUUGGUCAUUCUAUUCAUUUUGACACAACACAAGCAAACAACAGUUCUCCUUUUUCUCUCGUUUGUUUCCUUUAGCAAUUUUUCCGGGCAAAUUUUUUUGACUAAAUUUUUGCUUUUUCUUCUGAUUCCUUUCGAGAAGAGCGAUACCAGUUGUAUUUCCCCUUCUUAAUUCGAGUGUACAAAUUUUGAAAUUUUGCAUUAACAUUGGGGGACGAUGUUCAUUAUACGAUUACACCGGUCAGAACGAAUUUACUUUUAAGGAAGUGGCUCUUCCAUGACACAAUGAUUUUUUUUUUUGUGUACACUUAAUUUAUUUUCCCUAUCAAUGCUAACGAUUUUAUUUUGUAGUAGUAUAUUUCUAACAAAAAUAACUUCAGUUCCCGAGAAAUUAUUCAAAUAACCAAGAUCUUUGCUCGAAAAUCUCUUUGCCAAAGUUCAAACAAAGUUAGAGAAAAGUUUUAUUAUUUUUAUUGAUGCCAAAUUUCAUCCUCAAAUCCAGAUCCGACAAUUUUUAAGCUUUCAAUAGAUCUAUAAAUUAAGGCAUAAUACCAAAUUUAAUCUUGAGCGUGAUGGCCAGCCAAAGUUGUUCAAACGGCCAUCCGGCGGCGCGAUUGUGGCCCAAACUUGUUAGAUGGCCUCCAGAGAUUGUCGGCCUCCAAGUUGCCAUAUGACCCAAAUUUGUGUAAGUUUUCAAGCUACGCCGAGAAGAGGUUAAAUGGCCCUUGCUCCCGGUGUACCCUAACUACUAUGGGUUGUCUCCAAGGGCCAUUUUGGAGCACGAUCCCAUCCAUAAUUAUAUACUUUAAAAAUAAUUAAAGGUGUUGUGGCUACUUUUCAAUAUUUGAAAAUUAUAUUAAUUACAUGACAUCUGAUUUUAAAAUAAAUAUUUCUCGAACAGUAAUGACAUAUAAUAUAUUUUUCACCCAGAUUGUGGGUGCCGUGGGAGUUUACUUGGUAAAUAAAAUACUAAAACUUAUACCUAAAUUUAUCGAUACAAUUAGUUAUUUAUACUUAUAUUGUCUAAGUAAUUACAUUUCACCAUAUUUGACAGGAAAGAAGUGGAAGAACCAAAGAAUUAGUAAAUAUUAGGAAUAGCUACUGCUCCACAUGAUCAAGGACACUGCUAGAAUGAAGUUCUUUGGUCUAAAGGGAAUUGCAGUACAUACAAUUAACAGAAAAGUUUAUGAAGGUUGAGGAACUCUAGAAUUAAUCUUCAUAUAUCGGGAGAACAUAAUGUCGAUUGAUUGUAUUCUUCUAUUCUUGUUGCUUAGUUCUUAUACAUAGAAUAUUAUUGUUUGUUGUAGCAAAUUAUUUUCCUUUUCUGAACCAAAUCCACAAAUGGAGGUAUUUGAACGUCAAUGUUGAAAGAAGAUCAUAUUACUUGAAAUAUUUUAAAAGUAUUGUUGAAAUAUUUGGAGUUGCUGAGAUGUGGUUUAGGAAGUGUCUACUUCAUUCACUACUCUAGAAUCAAGUCGGAUCGGAUCAAUUCUAUCAGAUCCCUUAGAUUGAGGAGGUUGGAUCAUAUUAGAACGUUGAAGGUUUAGUUGCCAACAGUCCUUAUUUACUUUAGUUGUUAUUACUAUAUGGUUUUUAGCAUAUUUAGUUGUUGUUUAAUAGGUAUUCUGACAGAUCUUCAUUAUGAUAGCAUGUCUCAAAAUUUAUAUAUAUUUGAGAGACUUGUAUAAGUUGAUGUGUUGAUUUUUUAUAGCAUUUAAUAUGUUCAAGUGAGGAACUUUAUCUGUAAGAGUGCAUUUGGUUGUAAAAACUUUGUAUUGUGAUGUUACAUGCUAUGUUCUCAAGGNNNNNNNNNNNNNNNNNNNNNNNNNNNNNNNNNNNNNNNNNNNNNNNNNNNNNNNNNNNNNNNNNNNNNNNNNNNNNNNNNNNNNNNNNNNNNNNNNNNNNNNNNNNNNNNNNNNNNNNNNNNNNNNNNNAUGUAUUAUCCUUAAUGAGUUUUGCAUGCAAAGCAAAAUAAAGCAAAUAUCAACUCACUAAUUAUCCAAUGGUUAACUAAUACUAAGCGAUAUUACGUGGUCGACUCAUAAUAUGAAAUGACAAAUUAUAUUAGUAGAUAAUCUAAACACCUCUUUAGUCUUAUCUUUGGUAUCAGAAUAGAUGGCACCCAAAAAAUAGUAACAUGGAUGUGACUGACUAAGUUGACAGUAUAUCAUAAAAUACCCAAGUUAAAUAAAUCUUAGAUCGAUUUAAAUCAAAUAUAAUUUUUCAUUGUGUUCGGCCUUUAAUUAAGUCGAGACAAUCCAAUUUAGACACAAUUUUAUUAACUAAUCAACUUCCAAUAUAUACAUAGAUAAUUAAAAACGUCAAGGUGGUGGCAAAAAUUUGUUCUAACACCGAUUACUCUAUAACUUCCCACCUCAAACUUCAUAUCCUUAAUUAAAUUACCAAUAUUUUAAAAAAAAUUAAAUUAAAUGCCAUAAUUUAUCUCCUUAGAAAAAAACCUAGUAAAUCUUUUAUUUUUAAUAUACUUAUUUCUCAAGAUAUUAAUUAUAUACACCAUUUUUCUCAACCACAUUGCACGUGUAAAAAUUUUAGUAUUUAUUAAAAAAAAUUUCCAGGUCGUGGGACUUUACUUGGAAAAUAAAAUACUAAAACUUAUAAAAUAUUUUUGUAAACUGAUACUACUGAGGUAAGAUGAGUUGAUAGUUGCUAAGUGACACUCGAUAAUGCCACUGUAGAUUGCUUCUGAGAUGGUUAAAUACUCACCUUAUUUUGUUACACAAUUUAAUGAAAAAAAAUCUUUGGACUUGUUUAAUGUGAUGUGCUAUUGAAGAUACUAUGGUUCAUCUAUAGAAACUAGUCUUAGGCUUGGGCCCAACCCAAAAAAAACCAAACAAAAACCAAAAAAUAAAAGUCCAAUAACAAUACAUUGACCCAAUAAGGUCCAAUGACAAUAAAACCCAAACAUCAUUAGCCCAAAUAACAUAAACUCUAACCCAAUAACCAGCCCAAUGCACCCAACAUUUUCAUCAAAAAAACAAAAAAACCCUAGGUCACCCCGCGCCUAGCAAGCAACCAAGUUCGUUGCCGUCGCCUCCAUUUACACGCCUCACCUCCACGUGUGCCGCCACGUUCGUACCUGCAAAACGGACUAGAAGAGCCGAAAAGUAAAAAAAAUAGUGUAAAAAAAUAGAAAAAAUAGUAAGAUAAGUGUUAUUUUCAGGCUAUAAAAAGAGCCCCGAGUUUAUGUUCUGGUUACAAAUGAAUCAAAAGAAAACGGAAAAAAAUCAAUUCAAAUACAGAUCAUUUUCAAAGGUAGUUGUGCUGAUUUUUUUCGGCUUAUUUAUUUAUUUAUUUUUAAAGAAAACAAAAAAAAAAGAGAAAAGGAUAAAGGUCGUACCUUUUUGCGAGGGAGGUGUCGAUUUCAAUGAAAAUCGGUGUUUUUUGGGUUUGGGAGUCAAAAAAACUCAAAAAAUAUUUUUAAAAAUUUUCCGGCUGCCGCGGUGGUUCGGCACCGGCGUCCCACUGGAUUCUGGAAAGAGAGGAAGGGCUUUGAGAGGAUUUUGAAGGUUUUUUUUUUUGAAGAAAGGAAUAAAAUGAAUUUUUGAUAAAAAAAAAAGUUGAUUUAUAAAGCUUUUCAAAACUGCGUCGUUUUGAUUUAAAACACCAGGCGCAAAACGGCGCCGUUUCAGGCCCUUGACCCGAGGGGGACCCGACCUAGGGGAAGGAUCCGCGUGUUUUUGUUUUAGUGGGAUAUUUGCGCGUAUGGCCCCUUCGUUUUUUUAUUAUUUACAAUCAAGUUUCUUUUAUUUUUUAAUUUAGCCCUAUAAUUUAUCCCGGCUUCGUUUUUAGUCCCUGAUGGAACUGUGUGUUUUGGGAGGGUGAGCAUUAUUUCUCAUUCAGUCCCUCCAUCUCAUCUGCGCGUUUAAUCUAGUCUUCCCUUUUGCGUUUAUUGCCAAUUUUGCCCCAAAACUUUGUUUUAAAGCCCAAUUUAAUCCUAUUUUGUCAUUUUGACUAAUAUGUUAUUAAAUUAAUUAAUUCAAAAUUAUUAUAGCUAUUAUGCUUUACCUUAUUUAUUUAUGUACUUAUUAUUAUUAUAGCUAUAUCUUUAAAUCAAUUAAUUUUAUAUUAUUAUUUCCAUUAUUAUUUUUUAUUUACUAACUUAAACACUUUAAAUGCAUUUAUUUUAUUUUAUCUCCUUUUUUUUUGAAAAAAAAACUUUAGAUUAUUUAUUAUUAUUUUUAUUAUUUUUAUAACCCUAAUUUCAUUUUUUAAUAAUCAUUUUAAUAUUUCCUAGAUUAAUUUCCUAAAUGCUAUUUUGUGUAUUUAUUUAUUAAGUUCUUUUAAUUUUGAUAUUGUCUUGUUAUUUUUUUAUAUUAUUGCUUAUACCUUUAUUAUUCAUUAUCAUUGUUAAUUUUGUUGUUUUUUAAUAUUAAAGUGAUGCAUAUUAUGUGAUCAUUGUUAUUUUACAUUCGUAUUCUCGUUAUUCGUCGUUUUAAUACUGUAUUCGUGUAAAAUUUCAAGUAUCGCAUCAAUUUUGACCCAAAUGUAUAUUUUUUUAAAAAAAUAAAAAUACUUCGUAUUUUGGAAUUCAAAAAGAUUGUAUCCUAACUUACGGGGUCUCGAUUUUUUUUGAUAAUUCCAAAUAUAGAAUCCCUUUUUUUGAAAAAAAGCAAGUUUAUUUACAAAAAUUUUUUCUUGGAAAUCGGAAAAAGAUCAUGUUCCAACUUACAGGAUAUGAUUUCUUCUCCAAAACUGAGAUGAUCAAAUUUCUAAAAAUAAAUAAAUUUUUUGGUGUUUAUUCUCGUGUUGGGAUUAGAGAUGUUGUGUUCUAAUUCACGGGAUACAAUUUUUUUCUCGAUUAAUGUGAAAUACACCCUUCUUUUUUAAUAAAAGGAUUAUAUUUUUAAAUUUCUUUUUGAAUUUUUAAUUUUUCGACAUUAAGACAUUAAUUAAUCAAUUAGGUACCAAUUUUGGGCAUGAUGAGGGUGUUAAUCCUUCCUCGCAUGUAACCGACUCCCGAACCCUUUUUUCUUGAAUUCCGUAGACCAAAAUUAUUGUUUUAGUAAAAUUAAAACGUUUUAUUAAAACGAUUAAAUCGCAAGGUGAUCCGAUCACACCUAAAAAAAUUGGUGGCGACUCCCAUUUUUUUUCUAUUUUCGUUUUUAAAGUCAACCCCGUUUUUUAAAAUAAAACUGGUUUUGACAGAUUUUAUGUUAGCAAGCUGAAAUUGAAUAUAUAGGUUUUUCUAGAACUAUGAAAAUGAAGUUAUUUGAAGGUUGGGGAAUUAUAUUCUUUUAUUCUUGUCGUUUAGUUCUUAUACACAGAACAUUGUAGGAAUAUAAUAAUUAGCACGUAGAUUUAAAGAAAAAGAGAAAGAAGACUUCAUAUCAAUCAGACUUUUCUUAGCAGAAGAUAGAAUAAUUUAUAAAACCAACACAUCAAUCACAUGUAACAUCUGAUAUCAAAUAAAAUUAAAGUAAAAUUCAGACAAAAAUAAAAACGCAGGGCAGGAAACUUCCAAACAUUAUGUUUAUAGAUAGAAUGGUGUUUACAACCUUCACCCUUCUAAUUAUUAAGUGAAGAUAUUCGUAUUUGUACGUAUAUAAAAAAGGUAUAUUCCUAUUCAAAAAUCAAGCAGCUAAUUAGACCAAGUUGCCGUUGCGUGGUCAAGAUUUGUUUUCUUUUUAAUAUUACUAGGGAAAAAUCAACCAGUGAUUAUAUCAAAUAUUUUGGUCAAUACAUUAUUUCCAAAGUCCGCAGGAUUUCUCAGUAUAAAUGUCUCCGUUUUGUUCAUAAACAUGAAGCAAAAAUUCCACUACCUUUCAUCAACAUUUCUCCUUCACCCCAGAAAUUAUAGUAAAGCAAAGACAAUGAGAGGAACAUCGGUGUUGAGUUGGAUUCUGAUCAUCUGCCUCUCCCAAGUAGCUGUGCGGAGCCAAUACUACUCGCACACCCUACCAUAUCAUCCCAGGCCACUUGUGGUCACCCAUCUUCACUUCUAUAUGCACGAAUUUACGGGCACUACAGCAGUCGUGCUAACCCAAGCUAACAUCACAAGCAAUAAUUCAUCAGUGCCAUUUGCCACCCUAGUUGCCAUUAAUGAUCUCCUCAGGACUGGACCUGAGCCUGACUCGGAGCGGAUUGGAAAUGUUCAGGGUAUUGCGCUCCUGGCUGGAAUGAAUGCAUCGAGCACGCAGUACAUAGAUUUUGGAUUCAAUACCGGUAAGUUUAACGGAAGCUCUCUAAGCGUAUUUUCAAGGGGAGAAGCUGGGCUUGCGGUGGUCGGAGGAAGAGGCCAAUUCGCGAUGGCAACAGGGACUGCACUAUUUAACCCUAUCCUUAUAAAUGCCACCAAUGUCAUUAUAGAGUUUAAUUUUACUGUAAUUCAUUACUAAGAUGUUAUUCACAGAGUCAAUCCUCUUGGAUUGUGUGAAAGUUAUAUGAUUAUGCUCCACUUGUUAGAAUAAAUGUAUGAGAAAUGUUGACACCAUUUUUUUUGAUAAAACGGGGUCGACUUGGGUUUUGAGAAAUAAAAACGAAUAUUGGAGUCGCUACCAAUCUUUUUUUGAUGAGGUGUGAUCGGGUCACCUCGAAAAGUGGUUUUUUAAUAAACGAUUUGAUUUUAUUAAAAAACAAUUUUGGUCCACGAAAUUCAAAAAAAUGGGUUCGGGAGUCGGUUACGUAUGAGGAAGGAUUAGCACUCUCGUUACGCCCAAAAUUGGUACCUAGUUGAUUAAUUAGCGUAUUAGUGUUGAAAAUUGGAAAUUUUGAAGAGAUUCGAAAUACGAUCAUUGUAUUAAAAAACUUGUAUAAAGCGAAUUACAUGUUAAGGCCCUCUCAUUUUGGAGAGAUGUCACACCCAAUGAGUUAGAGCAUGAUAUUUCAUAUCCUCAAAAAUGAGCUUGUCCUUAAAAAACUCAUGCAAUAAAAUUCAAAAGGAUAUUCAAUUGUUUAAGUCAGAUGAAGAAAUCGUAGUCCAAUACGUUAAGGCAUAAUUUCUCAAAAUUCCAAACAUUGAAUAUUGCCUUUAUUAUUUUUUAGAAAAAUCCUUAUCUCGCGAAAACAACAUGUCAUAUCCAAUACGUUAGGACACAACGUAUCGAAUUCCCAAUAUGUGAAUAAAUGCCAAAAAAAUUUAUUUAUUUAAAAAGAUAUUCAACUAUCUCGGGUUUAGAAAAAGGGAUCAUGUCCCGUAAGUUAGAACAUGAUCUUUUGUUGAUUCCCGAGAACAUUUAAAAACCUUUUUUGAAAUGAUUCGUAUAUUUAGAUUUAUCGAGAAAAUCAAAACCCCGUAAGUUAGGUAUGAUUUUUCGAAUAUCAAAAUACGAAAUGCUAUUUGUUUUAAAACAAAUUUUGAUAUAUCGAGUAAAAAUGAAACACGAUGUCGUAACGAAAAAAAAAUUACAUUGUUGAUACGUAUAACAAAACAAUAGUAAAUACAAUGAUGUAAAAAUAAUACGAACGGUAGCAACAAAAAUAAGAUAAAAAAAAGACAAAUAAAUAACAUACAAAAUGACAAGUAUAUAAGUAAAUAAAAUUAAAAUAUUCUUUCAGAAUAAUAAUGAAAAUGUAAAUAAAUGAAUAAACAAAUAAAAUGAAUGAAAUUAUAAAAAUGAAAAAGAUACAUAUAUGUGUAUGUAGGGGUGAGCAUUUGAUCGAAUCGAAUCGAAAAUUUUCGAGUUAAUCGAGUUUUCGAAUCUCAUUUUAUCAUCCUAACUUUAUUUGAAGUUUUCUCGAAUCGAGUCGAGUGAGAUGGAAUUCGAAUCGAAUCGAAUAUAUUUGUUCGAGUUAAAUUUUAAAAAACAAUUUUGAGUCAUUGUAACCAUUGUCACCCAUCGUAAUAAAAUUUGUCCACCUUAAUCAAAUUUUUUAUUAACUUUCAUCACCUCAUAAUUUAUUUAUUAAUUUUUUAUAUACUGGUUAGCUUCUUUGCUUGCUUAGUUGUUUCAAUUAUCUUCAGAUUCUUGUCACUAUGUAUUUUGGAAUUAAAAAAUAUAUUAAAUGUAAAAAUAUGAUUUUUUUAAUAAAAGUUCUUUUAAAAAUAAAAUGUGAAAUUGAUACCAAUAUAAAAUUUUAACACGAAUAUUUUAUGGCAUAAUUAAUAAUUCAAUUUUAAUAUAAAUAUUCAAUAUGACUAAACAAUUCAAUAAUAUAAAUAAUAUAAAAUGUGAAAUUUAAUUUAAUAAUAUAAAUAGUAGAUAUAAAUAAAAUUAUUACUAUUUGUGUUUAGUAAUUUUUUUUGGGAUAAUUUUGAUUUUUUAUUUGAGAGUAAAGGGUGAGAAGUAAAAGUUUAAAGGAAAAAUAAAAAGUUUUGGGGAAUAAAAGUUUGAGGGAAAGUAAAUAGGGGGAGUAAAAUUUUAGAGGGAAAAUAUUAAAAAAAAUUGGAGGGGGGAGGGUUUGGGAUGGAUGGGAGGUGGGAUGGGAAGAGAAUAAAAGUUUUAGGGGAAAAGUGAGAGGGAGUAAAAAUUUUGGGGGAAAAUAAAAGGUUUUGAGGGUUUUUGGGAGUAAAAUUUUGAGAAAAAGUAAAUGGGAGAGUAAAAUUUUGGUGGGAAAUGGAUUUUGGGUAGAUUGGGGGGUUGGGAGGGGAGGAGAGUAAAAGUUUUGGGGGGAAAGUGGGAAGGAGUAAAAGUUUUGAAGGAAAAGUAAAAAGGUUUGGGAGUUUGGGGUAAAAAUGUAAAAUAUUAUAGUUUGAUAUUCGAAUUAUUUGAAUUAUUCGAAUUCAAAAACUCAACUCGAUUCGAACUCGAAAUUCUAAAAAAAAAUUCGAGUUGAUUCGAAUAACUUGACUAACUCGAAUAACUCGAUUCGUUUAACUCGAAAUUCGAAUUUUUUUCGAUAUUUUCGAGUCAAAUCGAGUUUUACUCACCCCUAUGUGUAUGUACGUAAAAUUAUGAAAAUAUGAAUAAUAUAUGCGUAUACAUAUUUUAAAAUUAUUAAAUAUAGAAAUAUAUGUAAGUAUGUGUAUAUAUAUAAAUUAUAAAAAAAAUAUGUAUAUUAUAUAUAUAACAAAAUUUAGGAAUUAAAAAGGUAUAAAUGAAUAAAUAAUAAUAAUAAUAAUAAUAAUAAUAAUAAAAGAAGAUUAAUGAUGCCAUAUAAUAGUAUUAAUAAUAUUAAAAUAAUUAAUUUAGAAAUAAAAUAGCUAAAUUAACAAAUGAAGGAUUGAAUUGAAAGUUAAACAAAAUUUAAAGGCCGAAAUCAAAGUAAAAAAAACAAGAAACACAGUAAAGGGUUAAAUCAGGAUGUGCGCGAAAGGAGGGGGGCUAAACAGGAAAUUAUCCCCUGUCGAUCAACCGACGCCGUUCUAGCGAGGCCUAUGCACAUGGUCUAUGGACCAAAAUGAAAUAAAAGCAAAACUUUGUGGCCAAAAUCAGAAAAAAACAAAAGACCACAUUGAAGCAAAACGCAAAGGCGGAGGGAUCUAUUGCGCAAAUAGCCCCCCAAGCAAAAACACGCGGAUCCCUUGUCUGGAGUGGGUCAGGUCGCGCCCCAAAACGGCGCCGCUUGAAAGUGCCCACAGUAGGCUGCCAUUGAGGCAGUUAAUUACUUACCUUAUUUGAGUUUGCAAUCUAUUGAAUAAAAUCUUUAGCCCUGUUAAUGAGUUGUCAUAUUGAAGAUACUAUAGUUCAUCUACAGGAAACAAUCCUUGGCUAUUGAAGAUUGGAUUGGAUUCGAGUGAAUCAAUUCAACCCUUGGAAUGUGGAGGUUCGAUCGAGAUUGUAUUGUUGAUUUUGGAGAGCAUGCCUUCGAUUAGCCGUGUUUCGAUUAUUGAUGUUGUGAUAGCUAUUUUCAAGGAGUUACUUUGUAUUCACUUAGACUUGAUGCUAGCAAACCAAAUUGAGUGAAAAAUGUAAACUUUGAGAACUAAACUUGACAUUAUGCUUUGAUAUAUGGAUCUAUUAGAGACCUAAGUAUUGCUGAAUCCGGAUUUAUUGACUCAUAAAAAUAAUAAAGCUUCUUUUCUGAUUUUAUUCAAACUUUGGCAGAGAGAUUUUCCAGUGAUUUGAAUCGUUUCAUGGGAAUCUCAAGAUUUAUUCAUCUCUAACACAAGAAUAUAUUUGUUAUGAUAUAUUGAGCAAAGUAAACAUGUCAAAUGCGAAGGAAUCAAACACACCAAUGUCCACUUUAGUUUCUUUUAAGUUUUCAUGGUGGCUUUGCUGCAGUCGACGCCAAAUUAAGAGGCCGAAAAUUUUGUUGCUUCGUUGUAAUAUUUGACAUUGACACUAAACAAUAAUUGUUUCGUUGUCAACAAACUUUCCAAAUUUGUGCAUAAACCAACCUCUAUUAGAGAUGAAGAUAAGUACGGAGUAGAUAUAUUUUUGUAGCUAAGGAUUUAAUAUUUAUUUCUCGUAUAAUGAUAAAGUACAAUGACCAAGUAUGAGAAUUUUAAUUUUUAAUACUACAAACCUAUAUAUUUCUCAUACAUUUAUUCUAACAAGUGGAGCAUAAUCAUAUGACUUUCACACAACCCAAGACGAUUGACUCUGUAAAUAACAUCUUAGUAAUGAAUUACAGUAACGUUAAAUUCAAUGAUGACAUUGGUGGCAUUUAUAAGGAUAGGGUUAAAUAGUGCAGUCCCUGUUGCCAUCGUGAAUUGGCCUCUUCCUCCGACCACCGCAAGCCCAGCUUCUCCCCUUGAAAACACGCUUAGAGAGCUUCCGUUGAACUUACCGGUAUUGAAUCCAAAAUCUAUGUACUGCGUGCUCGAUGCAUUUGAUCCGGCUAGGAGGGAAAUACCCUGAACAUUUCCAAUCAGCUCUGAGUCAGGCUCAGGACCAGUCCUGAGGGGAUCAUUAACGGCAACUAGGGUGGCAAAUGGCACUGAUGUAUUAUUGCUUGUGAUGUUAGCUUGGGUUAGCACGACUGCUGUAGUGCCCGUAAAUUCGUGCAUAUAGAAGUGAAGAUUGGUGACCACAACUGGCCUGGGUUGAUAUGGUAGGGUGUCCGAGUAGUAUUGGCUCCGCACUGCUACUUGGGAGAGGCAGAUGAUCAGAAUCCAACUCAACACCGAUGCUCCCCUCAUUGUCUCUGCUUUACUAUAAUUUCUGGGGUGAAGGAAAAAUGUUGAUGAAAGGUAGUGGAAUUUUUGCUUCAUGUUUAUGAACAAAACGGAGACAUUUAUACUGAGAAAUCCUGCGGACUUUGGAAAUAAUGUAUUGCCCAAAACAUUUGAUAUAAUAACUGGUUGAUUUUUCCCUAGUAAUAUUAAAAAGAAAACAAAUCUUGACCACGCAACGGUAGCUUGGUCUAAUUAGCAGCUUGAUUUUUGAAUAGGAAUAUACCUUUUUUAUAUACGUAUAAAUACGAAUUUCUUCCCUUAAUAAUUAGAAUGGUGAAGGUUGUAAACACCAUUUUAUCUAUAAGUAUAAUGUUUGGAAGUUUCCUGCCCUGCGUUUUUGUUUUUGUCUGAAUUUGACUUUAAUUUAUCUGAUAUCAGAUAUUAGAUGUGAUUGAUGUGUUGGUUUUAUAAAUUAUUCUAUCUUCCGCUAAGAAAAGUCUGCUUGAUAUGAAAGUCUUCUUUCUCUUUUUCUUUAAAUCUACGUACUAAAUUAUUAUAUUCCUACAAUGUUCUGUGUAUAAGAACUAAACGACAAGAAUAAAAGAAUAUAAUCGAUCAAUAUUAUAUUCCAUUAAUUCUAGAAUUCCCCAACCUUCAAAUAACUUCAUUUUCAUAGUGUCCUUGGUCAUAUGGAGCAGCAGCUACUCCUAAUCCUUUGCUCCUUCUGUACAAACCCAAAUAUGCCCGGGCCCAGACCAACAAACAAGCCCAAACAUUUAACCCCAAGCCCAAUAACUAAAUAGCCCAAUACUUAAAUAAAUGCAGAAAACCCUAGUAGCAGCAAGUAGCCGCCGCCCUCAAACGCCCCAGCAAUCUCCAGUCGCCGCAAGUUUCGGCCUCCACGCGUGCCGUUUCUCCGCAAACACCGCUCCUCAAGCACGUACCUGCAACAAGCGAAAGAGAAGAGAAAAAAAUCGGGCCAACAAACAACCGAAUAGAUUUAUUUGGAUUUAUUUUUUCUUUCCCAUUUUCGGCUAUAAAAGGCCAAUAUUUUCAGUGUAAAAAGGGGGAUGCAGUGUAAAAGAUACGAAAAUAGAGAGAAAAGAUUGAAAUACAAAGAAAAUUGAAGGUUAAUCGCGUUUAUUCUAUUUUCAUUUUUACUUUUUUUUUCUCUUUUCUUUUUUAUUUGUUUUGUGAAAUAAUAGAACAAAAGGGGAAAAGGGAGACUUACCUUUCGCCGGAGUCUUCGAGCUGGUGUCCCCUCCGUCGGAAUCGAGGCGUGGGCUGAACGGCGGCCAAAGGGUUAAGGAAACCCAGAAAGAAGCAGUUUUUGCUUCAAAGGGAAAGGCAAAAUAUUACCCUGAAUUUGUUUUUUUUCUAAAACUUAAAACGGAACAAAGAUGGUGUUGUUUAGUUUGGGGGUCUGCGCAUAUCGACCUUAAGUGGGAGAAUUGCGCAAUAAGUCCUCCCCCUUUGCGCCAUGUUUUAUUGAGCCAGUUAUUUCUUUUUAAUUUGGCCCAAAUAUUUUUACCUUGUUUCAAGUCGGUCCCCAUUGCUGCGCACCGUUUGGGGAGAGGGAUUAUUUUCAUUUUAGGUCCCCCAUGUAGUGCGCGCGUCGCAAAUUGGUCCCCUUUCUUUUUUUUUAAUUUCAUUUUUUGGUUAUUUUGUUUUUUUUUGCAUUUUUUUAAAAAUUAUUACUAUAUUAUUUAUUAUUAUUUAUUAUUAUUCCUAUAUUUAUACACGCAUUUUCUUUAUAUAGUAUAUAUAUACAUAUUUCUUUAUAUAAUAUAUAUAUUCUUAAACCUUUUUAAAUACAUGCAUUCUACAUUAUAUAUUUAAUUAUUUUUUUGUAACUUUUAUGUACCUUAUAUUAUAUAUAUGCAUACUUAUACAUUUUCUUUUAUUCUGUGAAUAUAUACAUCUCCGCAUACUCUUAUAUUUUUUUAUAUUAUUUUAUUUUUAUAGUUUUUGCAUUCAUAUAUGUACAUAUAUAUAUACAUAUUUUAAUGCGUGCAUAAUUUAUAUAUAUAUAUUUUUUCCUUUUUUUUUUGUUUUCAUAGUUUUUAUAAAUAAAUAUAUAUGUAUGUACACUUAUAUUUUACAAUACAUAUGUAUUUUCCUUAUUUUUGUACAUAUACGUAUUUUCUUUGAAAUCUACAUACAUAUUUUUGGAGAUUACUAUAAGUUCUGUUGUACAUGUUUUUUUACAUACGUAUACUUGUAUAUGUGUGUUAAAUAUAUGCAUACACAUAUUUUCAAAUUUACUUGUGUAUUGUGCUUGUGUUUACAUAUUUUGUAAAUACAUGUACAUAUAUAUUUUAAAUUAAAAUAUUUGUUUCAUAUUGUACAUUAAUUUUUAACGUACCCUUUGGAAAAUAAAUCUUGGUUUUUUCGAUAUAUCAAAAUCAUUUUUUCUUGAUUCAAGGGUUUUUUUUUGAAUAAAAGCAAUAUUCGAAGUUUGGGAUUUUCGAGGGAAAUUGAGCCCUAACGUAUUGGGUUCUAAUUUUCUUUGUUAAUCUUAAAUAACCGAGGAUAUUCUUCAUUCAAAAUGCAUGAGUAUAAAAAUCAUUUUUAGGAACUUAACUUGUUGUGCCCUAACGCAUUGGGUGUGGCAUGUUACUUUCUCAAAAUGAAGAUUUUCACAUAAAAUAAAAGUGAUAUUCAAAGUUCAGGGAUUAUGAGGAAUUGUACCCUAACGUAUUGGGACUCGAUUUCUUUACAUGACUUGAACAAUUGAUUAUCCUUUUUCAAAUUUCAUCAUUUGAGCCGAUUUUAGAAAUCUUUUUAACCUUCGACACUAAGAUAUUAAAUGAUCAAUUUGGUACCGAUUUUGGGCGUUACGAGGGUGCUAACCCUUCCUCGUGCGUAACUGACUCCCGGACUCAUUUUCUCAAAAUUCGUAGACCAAAAUAGGGUGAGCCGAUCACACCUUAAUAAAGGAUCGGUGGCGACUCCAGUUUUAUUUUUAAAGUCGACAACUAAAAUUUUUGUUUUCAAAAAACGGUUUCGACAGCUUGGCGACUCCACUGGGGACAUUUGAGAGUCCAGUCAUGAAUUGAUUAUGCUUUGUCUUUUUGUCGAAAGUCAAUUUUUUUUUAAAUCAUGAUUUCCUUUUGCAUUUAUUGAUUUUCAUCAUUUGCAUGAUUGAAUCAAGUUGGUUGGUCUGUAUUUGCAUUUUGCAUUGCAUGGUCAGUGUUACCCUUUAAGUAGGAGCGAGAAACUAGUCCUUCGUGAGGUUUUCACCUCCGUGCAGGGUAGUGGACCGCUUCCGAGAUACAUCCGUACCUAUGUCUUCGUGAGAUUUUCAUCUCCGUACAGCCAUAGGGAAAUGUAUCCCCCUGAACUGAACUCGAUCCACAUGAGCCUAUAAUGGGUGAGGAUCGAGGAAUCUACUGGUUCGGGUACCCUUACUUUAGAAAAUAACCCUCAUAUAGUAAACAUUAGGAACUUACCCUAGGUAGAGCUAUACCAAACCCUAGAGGGGUCCUGAAUAGGUGCUUUUAUAAUUUCCUGUGUAUAUUGAAUUAUGAUUUUAUACAUAAUACUGACUUUUUUAUGUUUCACUUUGACUGCAUAGCAUUUAGACUGCAUGGCAUUUCAUUAUAGAAAAGAGGUGUUGAUUCACGUUUGGUUGUUAAUAGAGAGCUCACCAUGGAAAACAGGUUUCUUGAUAAGGUGGAAGAUAAUACGAUUGUCUGAGUACAGUCUAAGAAAACGUGACGCGAAAGGUCUAACAAUUGGAGUAUACGAAUUUGCUACGUGACCUGAGAAUUCAAAUUGUCAAAGAUUAUUCAAAGUCAUCAAAUGUCCCAACCUCUUAAAGAAGCUAAUGAACGUGAAUGAGCAAGGAGUUACGACCUAGAUCAAACAAAAAAGAGUUCGAAUUCGCGAGGUGCAUCUUAAUAUCCGAAUGGUCGAUGCCUUCGCUUGGAGUACGAAGGUGAAGCCGUAUAUAUAUAUCCGCUUUAUGUAAAGAGAUUUAUUUUUUAGUAAAACUUUCUAGUAAAGAAUUGAACAUAAAUCAACGUCUCUUUUUUGCAUUCAUUUCAUGCAUUUGCAUUUCAUUACAUUAUAUGCAUUAGACACCUUUAAAUGAUCCUAAUUAAUUAAAAUCCCUGCUCAGUUAACCUGGAAACCAACCAACCAACCAAGCACCGUUACGGCACUCGAGCAAAGAUUAAAGACAUGGAUCAGAGAUUGGAAAAGCUUGAACAAUACCAGAAGGAGAUGCAAGACUUACUUCAGCUACAAGUGCAGGAGCGGUUAGACAAGAUGCAACAGGAUAUGUCUGAGAAAAUGCAGGAAUCCCAAAAGGAUAUGAUGGCAAAGCUAACCAAACUAUUGACCGGAGGAGGUGAUAAGGGAAAGGGUCUCAUGGCUGAUGUCAAAGGGGGUAAUGAACCACUCUAUCUUCUAGGCUUUACUCCUCCACAUGUUCGAACUCAAUAUCCACAUAAACCCACUGUCACAAUCAAGCCUCAGCAGUCCCAGGCCAGUGCUUCGAACUUUUAAGUUAGAUUGGGCUCUAACCCCGAAAACUACCCUGUUAACUCUGUCAUUCCUGACUUUGAUGAAGUGGCUGAAAAGGAAAGAAUAAAAGAGGAGUUACCAAGGCAGUUAGAGGAAAGGUACAAAUGGCUAGAGGAGAAAUUCAAGGCGAUGGAAGUCACUGAAAGCUAUCGCGGGAUUGACGCCAAAGAGCUAAGCUUAGUUCCAGAUUUGGUACUCCCUCACAAGUUUAAGAUGCCAGAAUUUGAUAAGUACAAUGGGACAACUUGCCCAGAAGCUCAUAUCACCAUGUUCUGCAGGCGAAUGGCUGGAUACGUUAACAAUGACCAGCUAUUGAUACAUUGUUUCCAGGAUAGCCUUUCAGGGGCAGCAUCUAAAUGGUACAAUCAGCUAAACCGUACCACAAUUGGUUCAUAGAGGGACUUGGCACAAGCGUUCAUGAAACAGUAUAGUCAUGUGACAGACAUAGUUCCUGACAGAAUCACCCUUCAAAAUAUGGAGAAGAAGCCGAACGAAAGUUUCAGGCAGUAUGCACAAAGGUGGAGGGAGGUCGCAGUCCAAGUUCAACCACCGCUCUUAGAGAGAGAAACAACAAUGCUCUUUGUCAAUACGCUGAAAUCUCCAUUCAUUACGCAUAUGUUAGGAAGUGCUACAAAAAGCUUUUCUGACAUAGUCAUGAAUGGUGAAAUGAUCGAAAAUGCUAUAAGAAGCGGGAAAAUUGAUACAGAGGAGAGUAACAAGAGGUCAGUCUCAAAUAGAAGAGAAAAUGAGGUGAACAACACAGGUUACUCUAAAUUAGUUACCGUGAGUCAGCCAAGAAAGGUGGUUGGUAAUCAACAGAAUUCAUCGAGGCAAGAUUCCGGCAUGAAGACUGAGAAGUUUCAGUUUACGCCAAUCCCAGUACCGUAUAAAGAACUGUAUCAAAAUUUGUUUGAUGCACAUGUUAUUUCCCCUUUUCAUGUGAAGCCUCUACAACCUCCGUAUCCCGAAUGGUAUAAUGCCAACACACAAUGUGAAUACCAUGCUGGGGUUACGGGACACUCGAUUGAGAAUUGCACUGCCUUCAAGAAGCAAGUUGAAAGACUCAUCGACAUGGGUAUUGUCAAGUUUGAUGACCCAUCUAGUGCAGGAAAUCCGCUACCUAAUCAUGAUGGAUGAUGAAGGGAAUGCAAUGUAUGAAGAAGUGGUGAGGUUUUCAUAUCGAUGCCAUAUAUGCAGACACAAUUAAAGGGUCCUUAUUAGAUAUUCGCCUUAGAGGUGUUCUAAAUAAUGAGACUGUAGAGGAAACCCCUGAUGUAUUUAGAGUCUGUUAGAGUAAUGUUCAGAACACACUUGUUGCUUUCAGCCUAGAAGCAAUAAGAAUUUCUUUGUGAGAUAGGCUCACGUCUAAACAUUAUUAUUUUAAUGAAAUACAUUAUUACAAUCAUCUUUGAGCAAAUGUUCUUUCAUUCUUUACAAUUUUUUUUCAUUCCUUCAGAUUCUUUUCUGCCAAACCAUUCAUUUAUUCAUUCAUUUAUUUGUAUAUCCUUUAGCACCCACUAUGGGUCCCCAAAUAUCAAUGACAUGAGUGACGCUGCUACAGACUCAAAAUCGCCUUCUGAGUGAGACAUGUGUUUAGAGGGAUCUCAUGACUUUGAAGAUGUCAUAAAUUGUAGUCUAUUUCUAGACUUAUUAAGGAUGGUAGAGCAGGAAGGAAAUUUUACCUCAUGAGGAGACAAUAGAAACUGUGACCUUGAGGAACAUGCAUGAUCGAAGAAACAAAGCAAGAUGUUGUUGAGCUACUUCAAGAAUUCAAAAAUGUCUUCGUAUGGUUAUACCAGGGUAUGCCCAGGUUAAACACUGUCAUUACAAUCUGAACAAUAGCAUGAUAUUAGAAACUUGCAGUAUGUUCAAGGUGAAUAUCAUGAAUGGUGCAGUGAAAACUCUACCGGGGCAAUGCCACUCUUUUCAGUUUAUCAAGAUUUUUUUCCAUUGAAGUUGAAAUUCUUUCUCUUCGGGUUUUGGCUGGAUGAGGCAGAAUAGAUCCAAUCGCAAUGUGAUCAAUUGAACUUGAUAGAAGGAAGAAGAUUAAAAGUUAUUCAUCAUGGUCAGAUGUACCAGAAAUGAAUUAUGCGAGCCUAUAACAAAAGGUUCAUCCUAGAGAAUUCCACGAGGGUGACCAAAUGUUGUAGAUCUUCCCUCUACAAAAAAUAUUUUGGAAGGAAACGGAUACCAAAUUGGGAGGAACCUUAUGAUUAUAGAGAAGGUUUUUUUCAAAGGAGCUUUGAUUUUGAGCGAGAUGAAUGAUAAAACCUGCAAAGUCCUGUAAACUCAGAUUCAGUCAGGAAAUACUCUACUUAGAGAAGGAGAGGACCAAGGUAAAAACCCGCAAAGGGCAGCUUGAGUCCCAAAAAAAAAGAAAAAGAAGUGAUGUGAAAAAAUGAAAAGAUGAAAAUAAAAAAUGAAAAAGUAAAAUGGAGAGGCUAAGGUGAAAACCCGUAAAGGGCGCCUUAGACCAAAGGGGAUUUGAGUUGAAAACCCAAAAAGGGCGGCUUAAAUGUUGGUCAAAAUGGCGUUUGAAUUUUUCAGAGCAGCUCAAAUACUGAUCAGAAUGGGGGCAUGCAGUGGUCUUGCUAUACCUGAAUCAACAGGAAAGGGUAGGCGACAUCUUGGGGCAUCGACAAAGUACUCCUAAACACAUGUUAAACUCAGAAUGGUCUUUAAAAAUUUGUACAGAGAAGUUCAAGCUGCGAUAUCUGGGGCACCUAAUCCUUAUAUUAUUUUUUGUUAUUCUUGGAACACUUCAUUCAUUUCCAAGAUAUGCAUUCAUAAAUCAAUUUCUUUGUUAUCCAUCUUUAUUAUCUUUGACAACUUAUUCAUUUCAAGCUAUGCUCAGAACCAACUCAAUUCUUAUCCAUGAUCUUUUUUACAAGCAUGUUGCAUUAGAAUAAUGAUUAAUGGACUAAUAAAACUUUCACAAGGGAAGUUUUGCAUAUUACUCUAGAAGUUUCUGAAUAAUAUAGGAACCUCAAACAAGACUAUUGUUUAGAACGCAUCAGGUUGGAAAUCUGAUAAAGAAGAGUCAAAAUUAAGACUAUCUCUUUGGAUUUUCUUGUCUAAAGUAUUACUUGAACAAAAUGGUAAGAUGUCGUGUUGGUGACAAAGCUUCAAUGAAUAAGCAAGUAAUGAUCACCGAAUAAUAAGAAGAAGUUGUUCUUGGAGAAGAUUUCUUCAUUUGUGCAUGAGCAUUUGGUACAACACCCUGGGAAUUGUGUAAGAGACCAAAAAGUUUCACAUCCUGUAUCCUUGAAUUGUGAUAACAGAGGAUUGAGAAAAGGCCAAAUUUUUUACUCUUGGGUUACAACGGGAAAAGAUGGUACAAAUUUUGCAUCCCAGUAGAUCAAACUUGGAGGUUUACAGCGUGGGGCAAUCUGGUCAAGUGCUUAUUGGGUUCACCAGCCGAGCAUAAAGGCGCUAUAGUACAUUAAGCGAUAAGACCUUAAUAAACUUGGAGUAAUGACAACUCAAGUGUUAAAAUAUCAUUUUUAUGACAUUCUACAUUCAUUCAAAUGUCAUUCAUACAUGUCUAGUUAGGAGAAUUUGAUUCAUUUGAUCAUGACAUCCUAUUCACUAGGCAUAAUUAGGUUCACAAAAUAAAUCAUACAGGUUAUGUUCCACAGAGAACAGAUUGGUGAAAUCAUAAAGCCUUAUCUCCCUGAGUUGCCGUGGAGCAGGUUGAAAAGAUAGCAGAUCUUGUCUUCCCAUACUGGUGGCGAAGUAGAUCAAAGAAAGUAGAUCUUGUCUUCAUGUACUGGCGUGAAGUAGAUCAGAGAUAACAGAUCUUGCCUUCCCAUACUGGUGGCGAAGCAGAUCGAAGGAAAAAGCAGAUCUUGUCUUCAUGUACUGGCGUGAAGUAGAUCAGAGAUACCAGAUCUUGCCUUCCCAUACUGGUGGCGAAGCAGAUCGAAGAAAGCAGAUCUUGUCUUCCCAUACUUGUCUUCCCAUACUGGUAGCGAAGCAGAUCAAAGAAAGCAGAUCUUGUCUUCAUGUACUAGCGUGAAGUAGAUCAGAGAUACUAGAUCUUGCCUUCCCAUACUGGUGGCAAAGCAGAUCAAAGAAAGUAGAUCUUGUCUUCAUGUACUGGAGUGAAGUAGAUCAGAGAUACCAGAUCUUACCUUCCCAUACUGGUGGCGAAGCAGAUCAAAGAAAGUAGAUCUUUUCUUCAUGUACUGGCGUGAAGUAGAUCAGAGAUAACAGAUCUUGCCUUCCUAUACUGGUGGCGAAGCAGAUCGAAGGAAAAAGCAGAUCUUGUCUUCAUGUACUGGCGUGAAGUAGAUCAGAGAUACCAGAUCUUGUCUUCCCAUACUGGUGGCGAAGCAGAUCAAAGAAAGCAGAUCUUGUCUUCAUGUACUAGCGUGAAGUAGAUCAGAGAUAACAAAUCUUGCCUUCCCAUACUGGUGGCGAAGCAGAUUGAAGGAAAAAGCAGAUCUUGUCUUCAUGUACUGGCGUGAAGUAGAUCAGAGAUACCAGAUCUUGCCUUCCCAUACUGGUGGUGAAGCAGAUCAAAGAAAGCAGAUCUUGUCUUCAUGUACUAGCGUGAAGUAGAUCAGAGAUACUAGAUCUUGCCUUCCCAUACUGGUGGNNNNNNNNNNNNNNNNNNNNNNNNNNNNNNNNNNNNNNNNNNNNNNNNNNNNNNNNNNNNNNNNNNNNNNNNNNNNNNNNNNNNNNNNNNNNNNNNNNNNNNNNNNNNNNNNNNNNNNNNNNNNNNNNNNNNNNNNNNNNNNNNNNNNNNNNNNNNNNNNNNNNNNNNNNNNNNNNNNNNNNNNNNNNNNNNNNNNNNNNNNNNNNNNNNNNNNNNNNNNNNNNNNNNNNNNNNNNNNNNNNNNNNNNNNNNNNNNNNNNNNNNNNNNNNNNNNNNNNNNNNNNNNNNNNNNNNNNNNNNNNNNNNNNNNNNNNNNNNNNNNNNNNNNNNNNNNNNNNNNNNNNNNNNNNNNNNNNNNNNNNNNNNNNNNNNNNNNNNNNNNNNNNNNNNNNNNNNNNNNNNNAGAUCAAAGAUAACAGAUCUUGUCUUCCCAUACUGGUGGUGAAACAGAUCGAAGAAAGCAGAUCUUGUCUUCGUGUACUGGCGUGAAGUAGAUCAAAGAUACCAGAUCUUGUCUUCAUGUAUUGGCGUGAAGUAGAUCGAAGAAAACAGAUCUUGUCUUCAUGUAUUGGCGUGAAGUAGAUCAAAGAUACCCGAUCUUGUCUUCCCAUACUGGUGGCGAAGUAGAUCGAAGAAAGCGGAUCUUGUCUUCCCAUACUGGUGACGAAGCAGAUCGAAGAUGGCGGAUUUUACCUCCCUGAGAUUACAGUGGAGUACAUUGAAGCCAGUUAUUCCUAUCUCAUUGAAGUUGCAAUGGAGUGGAUUAAAGUACCAGUUCCUAUACCUCUGAAGAUGCAGUAGGAAGGAACAAGGCUACUGGAAAGAGAAGCAUGAAAUAAGUUGAGAUUCAGUAGGACCAGGAACAAUUGGGCCUUGUAGUCUUUGCUCUAUUCCCGUUACACGACAAUGAACAAAGAGGGGCAGUUGUAAUAGGCCCAAUCGAUCCAGGUCCAAACAAAAUUAAAAUCAGUCCAAGAUUUACAAGCUCAUCUAAAGCAAACACGACCCAAAAGAAAAAAGAAAAGCUAAACCCUAGAACCUUCAGCAAAUGGCAGCAAGGAGCGCCGCAGCAAGCUGUCAGUGUCGUGCCCAACGCCCAGUCGCCGCACAACUCGGAGGUCGGCCUCCCCACGCGCGUUUACACUCCAUGAACGCCUGAAAAAAUGGACUCAAUGAGUCCAAAGAAAAACAAACAGGAAGCAAUAUUUUUUUUUCCUUCUUUUUCGAUUAUUUUCUUUCUCUUUUUCGGCCUAUAAAAGGCCAUUUUGUAAUCUGUAAAAUGGGGGGGAUUUUCGGUGUAAAGGAAUACACAUAGAAACACUGAAAAAUACAGAGAAAAAGAAAGAAAGAUACAAACUUUUCUUGAAUAUAAAGGUGGCUUUUUUUUUCCGGCGUUCAUUAUUUUUUUCAUGUUUACUGUUGAUUUAUAAAGAGAAGAGAGUGAAGAGGAGUUUACCUCUGUGUUCGGGCCACCGUUUGCUACCAUCUCCGCCGCAAUCGGGGAUCCGGUUCAAAAGGCCGACGAGCGACGACGCAGAAGGAAAAAUUUAGAAAAAACCCUAGCAAAGGAUUCUCAAUUUUUUUUCCCUUUCAGCUGUAAAUAAGUUUUUAACAAAAAAAUUUGUUUUAAAUAACAAAAGUGAAACGGCGCCAUUUUGCAAGGGGCUAGAUCCGCGCGCCGACCUGACCUGCAAGCAGGGUCCGCGCGUUCUGGCCCUGAAUGGGGAAUUUACGCAACUGGUCCCUCUGUUUUUGAGUCACCUUCAAUGCAAUUUUUUUAUUUUCAAUUUUGACCGCACGUUUGUUUCUUGUUUCAAUUUGGUCCAACAUGAAAACGCUGCGUAUAAGGGGCUGGUACAUUUCUUGUUUGCUCCUUGAUGUUUCCAGCGCACUACAAAUUAGUCUUCAGCUUUUAUUAUUUUAAAUGUUUACCUGAAAGUUUCCUGUAGUUUCAAUUUGGGUCCCUUGUUAUUAAUUAUUUUAUUAUUAAAAUUAUUUAUUUUUAUUAUAUUAUUUAUUAUUAUUGAUUAUUAUCAUAUUUUCUAUACAUAUAUAUAUAUACGCAUAGUUUUUUUUAUAUAUAAUAUAUAUAUGAGCAUUUUUUUUAUAUAUAGGUAUAUAUAUAUUUUUAAGCUUUUAUAAAUACAUGCAUAUAUUUUAUACAUAUGUUUUAUUUUUGUUUUUUACUUUUUUAUAUAUACUUUUUUUUGUAAAUAUAUACACAUGUACAUAUUUUUAUAUUUUUAUCUUAUUUUCAUAAAUUUCGCAUACAUAUAUAUACAUGCAUAUUUUCUUAGGAAUUAUAAUAGGUUUUUGUUUUGUUUUAUGUAUUUCAUUUAUUUUUUUAAUUUUAUAUACGUAUACUUAUAUAUACCUGUUUUAAUAUAUGCUUAUACACGUUUUCAAAAUUUAUUUAUGUCUCAUACUUAUAUUUUGAAAAUACAUAUAUACAUAUAUUUUAAAUUAAAGUAUCUGUAUCAUAUUGUAUAUUAACUUUUUAACAUACCCUUUUGAAAAUAUAUUUUGGUUUUAACCAUUCAUCAAAGUUAUUUUCUUGAUUUAAAGGUUUUUUUUGAAUAAAAGCAUUAUUGGAAGUUUGGGAUUUUCGAGGGUAAUUGAGCCCUAACGUAUUGGGUUCUGAUUUUCUUUGUCAAUCUUAAAUGACCGAGAAUAUUCUUUAUUCAAAAUGCAUGAGCAUAAAAAUCAUUUUUGGGAACUUAACUUGUCGUGCCCUAACGUAUUGGGUGUGGCCUGUUACUUUCUCGAAAUGAAGAUUUUCGCAUAAAAUAAGAGUGAUAUUCAAAGUUCGGGGAUUAUGAGAAAUUGUACCCUAACGUAUUGGGACUCGAUUUCUUUACAUGACUUGAACAAUUGGUUAUCCUUUUGCAAAUUUCAUCAUUCAAGCUUAUUUUAAAAUCUUUUUUUCAAAUUUUCGACACCAAGGCAUUAAAUAAUUAAUUUGGUACCGAUUUUGGGCGUCACGAGGGUGCUAAUCCUUCCUUGUGCGUAACUGACUCCCGAACUCAUUUUCUCAAAUUUCGUAGACCAAAAUUAUUUUUAAGGUGAGCCGAUCACACCUUAAUCAAGGAUCGGUGGCGACUCCCAUUUUCGUUUUUAAAGUCAAAAACUAAAAUUUUUGUUUUCAAAAAACGGUUUCGACACCUUCCACUUCUUUCCUGUCAAGUUUGGUGAAAUGUAAAUUACCUACAAAAUAUAAGUAUAAAUAACUAAUUGUAUAGGUUUACAAAAUAAGAAAUUCAGUUCAACAAAAUAAUUAAUAUUUUAUAAUCUACCAAGUAAUUUUGAGGCAGUGCCAACCCUUUUGACAUCCUAAAUUUUACUCUUCCUCCGAUGAUCGCAAGCUCACGUUCUGUCUGCGUUAUAGCGUUUUCGUGAGAACUGUUUGGUAUACGUGGGGGGACGAAAUAAAAUUAAGUGGAUUGAGCAUUGAGUCAUGAUAAUAACUUCAGUCCGAUACUACUCCUAAUAUUUUCCUAUUUCGUUUAUCCUUCUACUUCUUUCCUGUCAAAUUUGGUGAAAUGUAAUUUUCCAACACAAUAUAAGUAUAAACGACUAACUGUAUCUGUUGCUACUUUAAAUUGUUUACUUGCUAAAAUACAAAAUUGAAAGGGAAGUGUUAGAUUGUAGUGGUCACUACGGCUUGGCACUUCCAAAUGCCAAUUCUGUGCAAACAAAAUUAUAAAGAACAUCAAGGUUUCUUUACAUAGUUCGGUUUCUUUAUGUCCAUAGAGUCUAACUCAGUGAGUAAUUUUACUAUCUUUAACUACACUCUAUCACUUCUCAAGAAUAGAAAUCUCACCUUUGUACCUGAAGAUUAGAACACUCAAUAAGCUCUCAUACAAAACCUAAAUAAGCCUGUAUAUUCAAUUUCGGCUUGCUAACAUGGAAUCUAAGUGAACACAAUUUUACACAUUAAAACCAGCUAUUACAAUUACAACUUUCAAAGCAGAAUCAAACGAAGAUAUGAUUUCCAGAAUAGCAAUGCAGUCUUGAUCGAAUCUCGACACUUUCCAUGGGUUGAAUUGAUUCAUUCAUAUCCAAUCAAAUCCUCAAAAGCCAAAGACUAUUUUGCAUAGAUGGACCAUAGUAUCUUCAAUAACACAUCACAUUAAACAGGUCCAAACAUUUUUUUGCCACCACCUUGACGAAUUAGUCUACAGUGACAUUAUCGAGUACCAGUUAGCAACUAUCAACUCAUCUUGCCUCAGUAGUAUCAGUUUACAAAAAUAAGAAAUUUUGGUCUACAAAGUAAAUAAUAUUUUAUAAGUUUUAGUAUUUUAUUUUCCAAGUAAAGUCCCACGACCUGGAAUUUUUUUGCACUAAAUAUUAAAUUUUUUUACACAUGCAAUGUGGUUGAGAAAAAUGUUGUAUAAAAUUGAUAUCUCGAGAAAUAAUUAUAUUCAAAAUAAAAGAUUUAAUAUUUUUUUUCUAAGGAGAUAAAUUAUGGUAUUUAAUUUAAUUUUGUUUUUUUUAAAUAUUGGUAAUUUAGUUAAGGAUACGAAGUUUGAAGUGGGUAGUUAUAGAGUAAUCGGUGCUAGAACAAAUUUUUGCCACCAUCUUGACGUUUUUAAUUAUCUAUGUAUAUAUUGAAAGUUGAUUAGUUAAUAAAAAUUGUGUCUAAAUUGGAUUGGACCGACUUAACUAAAGGCCCAACACAAUGAAAAACUAUAUUUCAUUUAAAUGGAUUUAAGAUCUAUUCAAUUUGGGUUUUAUACGAUGUACUGUCAGUCUAGUUAGUUACAUCUAUAUUCUUAUCUUUUGGGAGUAAUUUGUUCUAUAUUAAAGAUAAGAUAUGUCACCAAUUAGGCUAGAUAGAGAACAUAUUAGUAUUUUAAUCGAUUUUCUCAAUUCCGAUUAGACUAAGGACGUGUUUAGAUUAUCUACUAAUAUAAAUUGUCUUUUUAUAUUAUGAGUCGACCACAUAAUAUCGCUUACUAUUAAUUAAGCGUUGGAUAAUUAGUGAGUUAAUAUUUGUUUUCAUUUUGUUUUGCAUGCAAAAACCAUUAAGAAUAAUAUAUGAAGAUGUUAAUGAAACUGAUGAAUAUUUUAGUAAAUCAAUUUGUUCGAAAAUUACAACUACAUGUAGACGACAAUACUACACCAAGGCACUAGAUCCCAAUGCACCCAAGAGACAAUUUUCUAACCACUAAAUUCUCCUAUUGAGAACAUAGCAUGUAAAGCCACAAUACAAAAUUUGUACAAUCAUAUGCACUCUUACAAAUAAUGUUUCUCACUUGAAUGUAUUAAAUGUUAUAAAAAAUCAACACAUCAACAUUAAUCUAUACAAGUCUCUCAAUUAAAUAAGGAUUUCGAGACAUGCUAUCAUCAUAAAAAUCUGUCAGAAACCUAUUAAACAAUAGCUAUAUAAGCUAAAAUACCAUAUAAUAAUAACAACCAAGAUAAAUAAGGACUGUUGACAACUAAGUCUUCAACAUUCUAAUCUGAUCCAACCUCCUUGGUCUAACGUAUUAGAUAGACUUGCACUUCCUCAAGCAUAUUUUUAUAAUAUUUCAAGUAAUAUGAUAUUCUUUCAACAUUAAUGAGGCUUUAAGUUCAAAUACCUCUAUUUGUGGAUUUGGUCCAGAAAAGGAAAAUAAUUUGCUACAUCAAACAAUAGUAUUCUAUGCAUAAGAACUAAGCAACAAGAAUAGAAGAUUAAUACAAUCAAUCGAUAUUCUCCCGAUAUAUGAAGAUUAAUUCUAGAGUUCGCCAACCUUCAUUAACUUUUCUGUUAAUUGUAUGUACUACAAUUCCCUUUAGACCAAAUAACUUCAUUCUAGUAGUGUCCUUGAUCAUGUGGAGCAGUAGCUACUCCUAAUAUUUAACUAAUUCUUUGGUCCUUUCACUUCUUUCCUGUCAAAUAUGGUGAAAUGUAAUUACUUAGACAAUAUAAGUAUAAACUAAUUGUAUCGGUAAAUUUAGUUAUAAGUUUUAGUAUUUUAUUUACCAAGUAAACUCCUGUAAUUUUUUUUUUCAACAAAUACUAAAAUUUGUGACACCCACUAUGUGGAUGACAAAAAAUUUUAUGUAAUUAAUUCCUCAAGAAAUAUUUAUUUUAAAAUCAGAUGUCAUGUGAUUAAUAUAAUUUUGAAAUAUUAAAGAGUAGCUUCAACAUCUUUAAUUAUUUUAAAAAUAUAUAAUUAUCAUGGAUGGCCCUUCUAACAACUUUGGCCAGCCAUCAUGCUCCGAAAUGGCCCUUGGAGACAACCAUAGUUGUUAAGGUACAUGAGGAGCAAGGGCCAUUUAGCCUCUUCUCGGCAUUGCUUGACAACUUACACAAAUUUGGGUCAUCUGGCAACUUGGAGGCUGACAAUUUCUGAUGGUCUUCUAACAACUUUGGUCAACAAUUACGCUCGCAGAUGGCCGUUUGAACAACUUUGGCUGGCCAUAACGUUUAAGGUUAAAUUUGACAUUAUGUUUUGAUUUAUUGAUCAAGCUUAAGAAUUGCGAAAUCUGAAUUUAUUGAUUCAAACAAAAUAUUGUAUCACUAAAAAUAAUAAAGCUUAUCCCUUUGACUUAGUUAAAACUUUUGUGUAGAGAUUUUUCAUUAAAGAUAUUGGUGAUUUGAAUCAUUUCUUGAGUAUUGACGUAUAAAGAUUUAUUCAUCUCAACACAAGAAUAUAUCUGUUAUGAUAUAUUGAGCAAAGUAAACUUUCUCAUUUUUUUGGUAAACCAACCUCUAUCAGAGAUGAAAUAAAUACUGAAUAGAUAUAUUUAUGUCUCUUUUGUAGCAAACAAUUUAAUCUUUAUUUGUAAUAAAAUAAUAAAGUACAAUGAUGAAGUAUGAGAUUCUCAUACAUUUAUUGUAAUCAAGUGUAGCAGAAUCAUAUGACUUUUUCACAGUCCCAGAGAAUUGAGUCAGUAGAUAACAUCUUAGUGAUGAAUUACAGUAACGUUAAAUUCAAUAAUGACAUUGGUGGCAUUUAUAAGGAUAGGGUUAAAUAGUGCAAUCCCCUUUGCCAUCAUGAAUCGUCCUCUUCCUCCAACCACCGCAAGCCCAGGUUCUCCCCUUGAAAAUACGCUUAGAGAGCUGCCAUUAAACUUACCGGUAUUAAAUCCAAAUUCUAUGUACUGCGUACUCGAUGCAUUUGAUCCAGCCAGGAGCGAAAUACCCUGAACAUUUCCAAUUACCUCUGAGUCAGGCUCAGGACCAGUCCUGAGGGGAUCAUUAACGGCAACUAGGGUGGCAAAUGGCACAGAUGAAUUAUUGCUUGUGAUGUUAGCUUGGGCUACCACGACUGCAGUAACACCCGUAUGUUCGUGCAUAAAGAAGUGAAGAUUGGUGACCUUAGGUGGCCUGGGAUGAUAUGGUCGGCUCUUCGAGUAGUAUUGGCUCUGCACUGCUACUUGGGAGAGGCAGAUGAUCAGAAUCCAACUCAACAUCAAUGUUCCUCUCAUUGUCUCUGCUUUACUAUAAUUUCUGGGGCGAAAUGUAGAUGAAAGCUAUAGAAUUGUUUCUUUAUUUUUAUUAAGAAAACAGAAAUAUUUAUAGCGAUAAAACCCGCAGACAUGAAAAUAAUUUAUUGUCCCAAAUAUUUUAUAUAAUAUUUCGCCGUAGUAAUAUUAAAAGGAACACAAACCUUGAUCACGCAAAAGAAACAUGGUCUCAUUGUCUAUGAUCCACUUGUAAAUUAAUUUUAUAUUGGAAGUUUCCUCUCCUACGUUUUUAAUUUCGUGUGAAUGGUGCAUUGUCCAUUGACUUUAUUUUAUUUGAUAUUAUAUAUUACUUGUGAUUGAUUUUAUAAAUUAUUUUAUCUUCUGCAAAUAAAAGAUGUUUGAUUUUAUAAAUCAUUUAUUUGAUACGUUUUUUCGGGUAUUCUAAGAUUAAAUAUGACAAAAAAAAGAAGAUAGGAGUGAGUUAUCAUAGAAUAUUUAAGAAAAUUUUUCUUAUAUAUACAUCUUAGAAUGCCCGAAAAACCUAAAAAAAUGCAAUUUCCUGUAAUUUAGUGUACAAAUUCAUAAAAUCGACACGAACUACCACAUGGCCGUGUGGAAUGGGUCAGCCCGUGUGGCUCAUGUAGCUUACUCUGAUUUUCCAUUCUUCACACGUUUUGCUCCCAAAUGCUCUAUUAAGCAUUAAAAUAUGAAUUUAAAGGAUUAGGAUAAUAAAAUUCACCAUUAACAUCGAAAAAUCACCUAAAAACGAAUUAAGAGCGAGGUUAAAAUAUGGUUUCUUUUAGCACUCAUCAAAUAUCUCCAUACUUAAGCGUUUGCUUGUCCUCCACAAUCAAGUGCACUUCCCUUAAUUUAUUGUUUUCACCGAUAAUGUCUCAGGAUAAUCCACAGAUAAUCAAGCAUUAGAAAUUCGAACUAAAAUGACACUAAAGAAUACAAGUAAUCCAAGCAAAAAUUUUCAAUACAUAAAAACAAAGGCAUCUCUCCUAUCUCAAUAAUUACAUGAAAUUUAAACUCAACAAGAAUUGACAUCCUCACUAAGGAUCACUCAAAGCACUCAGAGUCUUUAAUGUUCAAGGACUAUGCACUCAAUAGUCGAAUGAGAAAUGUUAUUACCAUAGGCUUGCUUGAAAAUUAGAUCUCUACCACUAAAGAAAUGAGAUGACACACCUAUUACCUCACAUAAAUACUAAGAAACCUUUAGUUUCAUAUGAUCAGUAAAAUGCAUGUUUCACUAAGUAGAAGAUCUGAAAGGACUUAAUUUGGUUUCUAAACUCAUGAAAGAUCAAGUUGCCAUGGAAUGCUUUCCGAACACUGUUAAGCAUGAUGAAAAUAAAUUAAGUUGAUUAAUGUAAUUAUCUUAACCUAUACAUGUUAUUGAUUGUUGAAGUUGUGUUUCUGUUGCUAAAAUCCAUUCAUACAUUUAGAUUAUUUUGCAUACUUAGUUUAAAAAUGCAUUAGGGACCAAAUUUUGCAUCCAGUUAAAUUAAUUUAGUUAAAUCAUCAUCACUAAAAUUAUUGUGUUUGAUAAUACUCUGGAUUGACAUAUUUUUAUGUAUUAAUUACAUAAUUAUUUUGAGUAUGAUCCUGCUAAUUUGAGCUAUUUAUGGUUUUUUUAUAUGCUAGGGAUUAAAUUGAAGGCAAAAGGAAAUUUAGGAGCAAAAGCAUGAAUUUGAAACAAAAUGGGCCAGCAUGCGAAAUAGGAAAGAAGUUGUGCCAAAAAUGCAAAGUGUGGAAGACUUGAGAGCAACAGUUCAAAGAAAAGAUUUUAUAAACACAAUACUCUAUUUAAAUUUUAAUUAUAUUAGGAUUAUUGUUAAAAUUAUUAUUUAAAUUUCAUUUUAGCUUUUAUCUUUAUUUAUCUUUUAGAAUUUAGAUAGGAAUAAACUAGGUUUUCUGAGUACUAUAAAUAGAGGAUGGAGUGACAUAAAUUGCACUCAUCUUUUCUGUAAAAGCUCCCUCUCCCAAAAAGCUCUAGCUUUUGUUCCUUUUAUUUAUUCAAUAAAAUUCCAUUUUUAUUAAGUUUAUUUCUUUUUCCCCAAAAAGCAUGAGCCACUAAAUUCAUCUAGCCAAAGGUUGUCGAAGAUUACCCAAAAAGGGUUCAUGAGGCUUAGAAUCCACACUUAACCUUCUCAACAAAUAUUCGUCAUUUCUCUGUAUUACAAGAUUGACGCUUCUAUCCAUGUCCCUUCAAAUGUGAUCUUUUCAUCUUGUGCAAAGGCGGCCGCUUUAUAUGUUUUGGGAAGGUUGCACAGUCGGUUCGUUAGCCUACUGCGUCAGUGUUUGUCAAGUCCAAGAGACAAAAUAGCGUGGCAUUCGCCAUUGAGAAGUGAUGAUCUAGUGUAAAACGGUUCCAUAAAAGUGACGAUUGGUUAGAGUCAGGUUCCUCUAUAUCGUGAGUCUAAAAUCUAAGUGGAGCUGGUGGUCAUAGGCGUCCUCUUCCACUAUAACUGGCUUAUUCUGUUAUGAUAAGGAUCAUCUAAAAGCCUAGGAUUGAACCUGAGGAGGAUCGAGAUAACCGGAGGCUGGAAUCUCUUUAUCAAAAACUCUAUUUUCUUAAUUCUGUUUAUUUUUACAGUUUCAAUUUCAAUUUAUGCAAUCUCAACUCAACCAAACUUUUAAUUUUGUUUUUUUAUUCUUUUCCAGGCACGCUAUUUUUAUUGGGCAAGACUUUGCUCGGGAUAUCGAGGAAGAGGAACCUGUGCAAGUCCAAUCCCUGAAGAUUUGACCCUACUUCCCUUAUACUAUUCUUUUCAUUAUUUUAUAGGGAUAUGAUACUUUUGGUGCUCUCAACGAUGCACCAAAUUUUGACACUGUUGCUGGGGACUAGUAACGUACUAAUCUUGCUCCUUUUGUUUCUUAUUACCAGAUCUGUUCCAAGUAUUCUUACAUUUGAUUCAGAGAUAGAGAAGAUUGCGUGAGCUAAUCGCAAAGAAACAAAACUACAUAAAAAGCAGUUAGGGGUGGUAAGGACUCAGACUAACCCACCGCUGGAGAUAGAAGCAGAUGACAAUGUGUCUAGGGUUAACGAAAACCCUACUCAAACACUAGAAAAUGAAAGAGUAGGAGUCGAUCCACCAGAAGAAGUGCUUAAUGUGAGGGUUAACGAAAUGCAAAACAAAAAUCCCCACAAACAUUUAAAAGAGUUUUAUAUGGUUUGUCUUAGCAUAAAACCUUAGGGCAUAACUAAGGAUCAAAUCAAAUUGGGUGCUUUCCCUUUUUCCCUAGCAGAUUCUACUAGGGAAUGGUUAUUUUAUCUACCCUCUAGAUCUAUUACAACUUAAACUGAUCUUUCUCGUUUGUUUCUCAAUAAUCUUUUCUAGCAUCGUAUGCAAUUGAGUUAAUAAGGGAGAUCGUUGGGAUAAGAAUAAAAGAAGUAAAGUCUCUUUAUGACUAUUGGGAGCGAUUUAAGAAGUUGUGUACAAGUUGCCCACAACAUGGUAUAACGAAACAGUCUUUACUCCAAUACUUUUAUGAAGGAUGGAAACCUAUAGAAAUGAACACGGAAGAUGCCGCCAGUGGAGGGGUAUUGGUCAACAUGACUCCCCAACAAGUAAGGGACUUGAUAUCCACGAUGGCUAUGAAUAAUCAACAAUUUUGAGCCAAUCCUAAACCCACUAGAGGGGUUCACUAGCUAAGUAAUUCAACCUUAGAAGAUAAAGUUGAUAGACUUACUAAUAUUAUGAAUUCUUUUAUUGCAGAAAAAGCAAAACUAACUUGACUAUGCGGAAUUUGUUCCAUACCUAAACAUACAAUUGAUUUAUGUCCUAGUUUGUAUGAUGAUACUAUGGCCUAUUUGAAUGCUGUGGAGAACUUUCCUGGGCCACCACAAAGUCGAUAUGAUCCUUACGCUAAUACCUAUAACCCAGGAUGGAAAAACCAUCCUAACUUGAGUUAUAGGGUCAACCUACGAUAUAACUAGCCAUACCAAAAUUAGUUUCAACAAUAGCCGCGAGAUUGAUGUACUUCUCUAGAAACCAUGGUCAAUAAAUUAGCAGCUAAUAUGCUUGAUUUUUAAUAGAAAACUGAGGUGUCUAUAAGAGAGUUGACCAUAUCAAUUGAGAAAAUGAACUCUUAAGGGAAGCUACCAUCACAAAAAGAGCCAAACCCAAGACAAAAUGCAAAUGUAGUGACAUUGCAAAGUGGAAGAGAACUAGAACCAAUUCCUGGUAGAAAUCUUGGCAAAGAUUUUGCCCAAGAGAAGCACGAGAACGACGAACUAGUUCGAAUGAAACCUCCAUUGCCUAAAAUUCAACCUCCAUUUCUAAGAUGAUUGAACCAAAAUCGGAAAGGUAAAGAGGAUAAGGAGAUCCUCGAAACAUUCAGAAAUGUUGAGAUCAACAUACCACUAUUGGAUGCCAUCAAACAAAUUCUGCGAUAUGCCAAGUUUCAUAAGGAGCUCUACACCAACAAGUGAAAAUUAACUGGUAAUGAAAGGGUAAGCGUUGGUGAAAAUGUAUCCACAGUGUUAUAGUGGAAGAUGCCAACAAAAUGCAAAGAUAGGGGAAUGUUUACAAUACCAUGCAAAAGAGGCCACUUAGGAAUUAAAAAAGCUAUGUGUGAUUUAGGGGUCUCCAUAACUGUAAUGCAUUUUCUAUUUAUGAAUCACUUACCAUGGGUUUUUUAAUGAAAAUAGGUGCUAUCAUUAAGUUAGCAGACACGUCUAUUGUGCAUUCUGAAAGAGGAUCGAGAUAACUGGAGGCUGGAAUCUCUCCAUCAAAAACUCUCUUUUCUCAACUCUGUUUAUUUUUACAAUUUCAAUUUCAAUUUACGCAAUCUCAACUCAACCAAACUUUUAAGUCUAUUUUUUUAUUUUUUAUCCAGGUACGCCAUUUUUCUUGGGCAUGACCCUGUCCGGGAUCUCGAGGAACAAGAACUUGUACAAGUCCAGUCUUUGAGGAUUUGACCUUACUUCCCUUAUACUAUUCUUUUCAUUAUUUUAUAGGGAUAUGGUAUUUUUGGUGUUCUCAAUGACGCACCAAUGUUUUUAUACCAAAUUGUGAAUUUAUAAAUUUGCAAAUAAUCAAUUAACACACACAGCCCCUAUGGAGAUGAUAACUCAUUUUACUUACUUAUUACUUGAACAACUGUGUACACUUGCACAAUAAUCCCGUUACAAAUGUUUUUCAUAUUCAAAAGGAGUAAGCUUUAUGCAUGUCAUGGAUGAGAAAAGUAUGGCACUGGGUGUAGAGAAAAGGAUAAAAUUUUUAAGAGGAUGUAGAGAUUAUAAGGUUUUCUAAAUCUUCUCAAAUAUAUAAAAAUUAUUUGACAAGAAAAUCCUUGUCCCAUAAUAAAUAUAUACCUUAAUCCUGAGUGGAUGAUGGACUAUGUAUGUGUGUAUCAUAUACUUUGAGGUAAGUAAAAGUCUGAGUUCAAAUAGAUAAGGAACCAAAAGUUGGUGCAUUGGAUAUACGACUUCUGUAGUAUAUAAGUUCGUUCACAAUAGUGGAAUUCAUUGCGCAACUAAUGGGUAAAUGAUACAAAUUCAUCUACAUUACAUGCUAGAUGAAAAUUAAACAUGAUCAUAGAUCGUUUGUCUUUGUGGUAAAUGGCUUGAUUACUAUUUGUCCUAGACAAAUGAUUCGUGGCCUUGUUACUUUUUCAUCUAUCAUUUAAUGCUAAUGAGAGAAUAUCAUUUACCCUUUAAUGGGUUAUGAAUUCCACUAUCUGAAUGAAGCUAUGUCGUGCAAAAGUAGUAUGCCUAACAUAUUAGCUUUCGGAUUUUUAGUUGUUUUGAACUCAAUCUUUCACUACAUCUAAGUGUACGAGUUAUGCACACAUAGUUAGUCACUUAGUCAAGUUUGAGGUAAGUCACUAUGAACAUCACAAAUAAAUUAAUCCACAAACAAAUCUAAGAUUAAUUUGAAUUGAGUCUUUCUUUAUGUAUUAUCAAUCCAGACAAUAACAUCUACGUCUCUAUCUUCUGGGAGUCAUCUGUUUCGAUACUAAAGACAAGAUAUCUAUCUAAUAGAACUUGAUAGACUGCAUAAUAAUCCUUUAACUGAUUUGCUCAAUUUCGAUUUAAUGGACCUUUUAAAUUAUCUACUAAUAUAAGUUAUCUUCUCGAAUUGAUCCGACCAUAUAAUACAACUUAAUAUCGGUUAAACGUUAGGUAAUCAAUGACUAAUAUUUGUUGACAUUUUACUUCUUUUGCGCUUGUUUUUAUAUUCAAAAUUUACCACUUUCUUUUGCAAAUUCAUUUUAUUCUAUUUUAAUUAGUUUAUAGUUAACUACACUUAGACUCCCUUUGGAUAGGUGAUGAGAUUAAUCCGAUGAGAUUGAAAAUAGUGGUAGCGACAAUAUUAUCUACUAUUGAUGUACUAAAACAACUCUUCAUGACCUAAAAUAAAUUAAAAUUAAUAAAUUUUAUUUAUUAACAACAGAAUACCGCCAAACUCAAGAGGACGCCUCUAUAAAUGAAACUAUUCGUGGCAUUCAACGAGAGAAACGCCACUAAUAUAUACAAAUUAAAAUUUAAAAAAUUAAUUAUAUUUCUUAAUUGUAUAAUUUACGGUAUCUGAGACUUGGUCGCCACCAUGUGCACUAAUGUGUUAUCCGCUGAAAUGUUGAAAUUCGCUGGCUGACGUGAGUGAAUUAGCCGCGUUUUCUGGGUAACCUCCACUUAUCAUGCGCAUAAGCCACUACAGGAGUACCUAUGUGGCACUUUUCUCUGUAAACGCCGCAAGGUAUUGCCGCGGUGAGUGGUGAGAUGCAACAUGAUAUGAUCGUGGUUUUCUUCAAGUCAACUGGAUGAGGUCGCAUAUAAGCAAUCUUGCUCCUUCCUGUCUUCCGCUGUGAGUGAGCUUUGUUCAACAAAGUGAUCUGAGAGGAUAGGUGGGUUUUACUUGUUGUAAGGGUGGAGUGGCAACGUCUAGCAACUAUAAAUUUUGCAACCAUAUAAGCCAAACUGUAAAAGACAGCACAUAAUUCAUCAAAUAAAUAAUCUUAUUCAUAAUACAUAAAAAUAAAAUAAUUAAUUCAAAAUCAUGCACAAUUUUCUUUAAAAUAAUAUAAAUGUCAAAUGCUAAAUAAUAUGAUCAGAACAAGAAAGAGAUAAUACACUAAAAUAAUACAGUUGAAUGUUUGAGUUUAUAAGUUAAGAGUAUUUUUAUUAAUAUUAUAUUCCAAUUCGAGUUAAGAUUUUUUAUCAAACUAAAAGUGAAAAUUUAUAUCAAAGAAAGAAAUUGUAGUAAGUUGAGUGUCAAAUCCGUUUUUUAUUGAAAAUGGUGGCAAAAACAUUAAUUUUUUAAUGAUGUUGACGCGACAACUUAAUUACAUAUACUUUAUACAAACAUUACAAUUCGUUUUUUUUAUGUUACCUCACCAAAUGAUUUAAAAUUUAUAAAAUAUUCAAAUUAUAAAAAAGAGUUCAUAAAAAUUCAUAAAAUUAGCAUGGACUACAUGUAGAUUGCUAAGUGGGCUGUUAUGUUUAAAAGUUUAAUGUUUUAAUAAGUAUUUCUAUUUAAAAAAAAUAACAAUUCGAUUCUUUUUUAAAUGUUGGUGGUCAAAUUUGACCUCUUUAAAAUGGUUGAGACUAAAACCAAUAUGAGUAAAAAAUAUAAACAUUAAGGGUUAAAUUUGAUAUUAUGCAUGGACUUAUCGAUAAUUAGAGGCUUUUAAGUAUAGUUAAAUCCGAAUUUAUUGAUUCAAACAAAAUUUUGUAUCAAUAAAAAUAAUAAAAGUUUUCUUUUUUACUUUGGUCAAACUUUGGUGGAGAGAUUUUCGAGUAAAGGUGUUGGUGAUUUGAAUCAUUUCCUGGGAAUUGAAGUCAUUCUCAAGAUUUAUUCAUCUCAACUCAAGAAUAUAUCUGUUAUGAUAUAUUGAGCAAAGUAAACUUGCUGCUUCGUUGUAAUAUUUGACUUUGACACCAUUUCAUAAUUGUUUGGUUGAUAUAUUGAGCAAAGUAAACUUUUCUCAGCUUUUGCGUAAACCAACCUCUAGCAGAGAUGAAGAUAAAUACUGAAUAAAUAUAUUUGUAAUAAAAUAAUAAAGUACAAUGAUGAAGUAUGAGAAUGUCAAUCUCAUACACUUAUUCUAUCCGAGUGGAGCGGAAUCAUACGACUUUUUCACAAUCCAAGAGAAUUGAGUCUGUAAAUGACACCUUAGUAAUGAACUACAGUAAAGUUAAAUUCCAUAAUGACAUUGGUGGCAUUUAUAAGGAUAGGGUUAAAUAGUGCAGUCCCUUUUGCCAUCAUGAAUCGUCCUCUUCCUCCGACCACCGCAAGCCCUGGUUCUCCCCUUGAAAAUACGCUUAGAGAGCUGCCGUUAAACUUACCGGUAUUAAAUCCAAAUUCUAUGUACUGCGUGCUCGAUGCAUUUGAUCCGGCUAAGAGGGAAAUACCCUGAACAUUUCCAAUCACCUCUGAGUCAGGCUCAGGACCAGUCCUGAGGGGAUCAUUAACAGCAACUAGGGUGGCAAAUGUCACUGAUGAAUUAUUGCUUGUGAUGUUAGCUUGGGUUAGCACGACUGCUGUAACACCCGUAUGUUCGUGCAUAAAGAAGUGAAGAUUGGUGACCUUAGGUGGCUUGGGAUGAUAUGGUCGGGUAUCUGAGUAGUAUUGGCUCCGAACUGCUACUUGGGAGAGGCAGAUGAUCAGAAUCCAACUCAACAUCAAUGCUCCUUUCAUUGUCUCUGUUUUACUAUAAUUUCUGGGGCGAAAUGUAGAUGAAAACUAUAGAAUUGUUGCUUCAAUUUUAUUAGGAAGACAGAAAGAUUUAUAGUGAUAAAACCCGCAGACAUGAACAUAAUUUGUUGUCCCAAACAUUUUAUAUAAUACAUGAUUGAUUUCGCCGUGGCAAUAUUAUAAAGAACACAAAUCCUGAUCACGCAACAGAAACUUGGCCUAAUUAUUUUAGAUUGGAAGUUUCCUCCUCCUGCGUUUCUGUUUUCGUGUGAAUAUUGUCCAUUGACUUUAAUUUAUUUGAUAUUAUAUAUUCCAUGUGAUUGAUGUGUUGAUUUUAUAAAUUAUUUUAUCUUCUGCAAACAAAUGUUUGUUUGAUGUGAAAUCUCUUUUUUUUUUUUUCUUUCUAAAUCUCCUUCAGAAAUUAACGGCGAAUCUAGAAAUCAGAAACAUGGUCUAAUUAGCUGCUGGCUCUAAUCAAUUUUCUUUGUUUUUUACGCAAAGCAGGUUGUGGAAUUCACUACCACCGUUCUGCCAAUUUUUCUCUUUUUUCUUGAGUAAUUAAAACUUUAUUCUGGCUUGGGGACACUAAUCAAUCCGAGAGAGAACUGUGAUGCUUUCAAUUUUGCCUAAAUCUUCCACACUCUUGCAACACUUUAUUGGAAUUUGUUAAAUUUGGAACUGAAUUGUGUGCUAAUACAUGUCUCAUGGAAUUUGACAUUUUCUAUACUCGCUUAGACAAAUUGCUCAUUUGAAAAAACGAAAAAGAAAAAAAAAAGAAGUGAGAACAGAACUGAUAGCUUAAAUUAUGAGUAAGAACUUGUGUAUUGUGACGGUUGUUUGAAUUGUUAUCGCACUUCGCGUCAAAAGCUCUAGUACUGUUUCAAGUCAAUAAAUUACUCUAAUCACGGUGCCAUAAGAGAGAUAUAUUGAAUUGUGUAAUCAUCUUGAGUUGUCAUUUCAUUUUAUGUUAAAAGAUUCGACAACAUCUUAAACAAAAAGAAAUAAAUAAAUGUCUGUGCGAGUCUAAUUGAAUAAGUCCAUGGAAUGAAAACAUUUUCCGGGAUAUUGUUACAUGACUCGAAUGAUUGAACAAAAGGUGUGCUUGAGAACAAGCUUUCUUCAAGUCAGCCGGAGGAGGUCUGUCAUCCGGUGUGAGUGAGCAAUAUUGUUCAACAAAGUGAUCUUAGAGGGUAAGGGUGGAGUCACCAUGUCUAAAAGUUAUAAAUUUUUUAACCAUAUAAGUAAACGUGUAAGAAAAACACAUAAUACAUCAAAUAAAUAAUCUUAAUCGCGAUACAUAAAAUAAAAAAAAAUGAUUUAAGAUCAUACACACACAUUGUUUUAAAUAAUAUAAAUGUCGAUUCCCACACAAUAUCUUCAAAACAGGAAAAAUAUAUUACACUAAAAUAAUAUAGUUGAAUGUUUGAGUGUAUAAAUUAAGAAAAAUUUUAUUAAUGUUUUAUUCCAUAUGAAAGAAAGAAAUUGUAGUAAGCUGAAAAAUUUAACACAUUUGGCCUAUAGUUGGAGACUAGAAAUUCAAAUUUAACUUCUCCUUAUUGUGAUUUAACUUUUGUUAAACUUAACUUAAGCUUCAAUUUAAUCCCAGAAAUUCAACAGAGUCUAGAUUGGAAGUUUCCUCCCCCUGCGUUUUGAUUUUCGUGUGGAUAUUGCCCUUUGACUUUAAUUUAUUUGAUAUUACAUAUAAUAUAUGAUUGAUGUAUUGAUAUUAUAAAUUAUUCUAUUUCUGCUAAGAAAAGUUUGUUUGGUAUGAUCAAGUCUCUUUCCAAUAUAAUCAACUCCGACAUAAGAAAUUCAUUAGAAAUCAGAAACAUGAUCUAAUUAACACCCAAUUGAGAAAUUUAUAUCAAUUUUCUUUGGUUUUUGCGCCAACCAGGUGGUGGCCCAUUUUUUAAAUUAUUAUUUAAUUAAUUAUAAUUAAUUAACUUAAGUAUAAUGCGAGAAAUAAAUUUAAAUAAUUAUCAUGGAUUUAUUAAAUAAGACAAUUAAAUAUAUUUUUCUUACAAAUUUAUUAAAUAACUUUAAUGGAAUUAUAAUUGGGUUGAAAUAUAAUUUAAUUAAGAAAAUAAUUUAAUUAAUUUAUAUAUUUAAGAAAUAUAAAAUAAAUAUUAGGUUAUAUAAAUUAUAAGUGUUGGAUAAAAAACCCAAAUUAGGUCUAGUUAAUGGAAGGGAUGGCAAGCCUUAGUAUUUUCUAGGCCAUGCCACCGCCCCCACCUAUUCUACUUCAAGUAGAAUUUUUAUUUUCUAUUAAAAUAUUAUCAUUCGAUUACCCUUUAUUCAAAUAGAUCUCUUGUACUGUUUCUUUAUAAUUAGGGACUACGAGCUAAACUAUUCAUACAAUUUUGAGAGUAUUGUUAUUUUGUCAAAAAAUAGUGACAAUUUUUUUAGAAUAAAUUCUAUUUUUUGGGAAAAUCUGAUAGUUUCCAGUUUAUAGAGAGAAUUAACAUUCUCAUUGAAAGUUAAGAAAUGUUUUCAUUCUGUGCAUUUGGUUCUAUUUUGAGAGCUCAUACUCAAAGCAAUUCAGGGUUUGAGGAUAGCGAAGAAGGUCAUUCACUAGAAAGUCAGGAUUGACUUAGACUACCUCGUACAAAACAUAGGUAUAAAUUUGGUUAAAGGUUUAUUGUUAUAAAUAUCACCAGGCUUGAUUUUAAGUAAAAUUUUAAACUUCCGUUUUGCCUAAAAACUUAGUUUUCUAAACCCAUUUUUACAACAAUUGUGUGGUGUAUAGUUGGAAGAAUCGAAACAAUCCGUAAUUGUCAUAUUCAGUGUGUUGAAGAACAAACUAAUGUGACCAAUUGAGUAAAUGAUUGGAUUUGUCAAGGGAAUUAAUGAUAGAUUUUAAACGACUCACACAAUUGAGACCUUUGAUUCAAGUCAAUUCUAUCUUGUUCGCAUGGUUAAUGAGGAACUAAAUAGUGGAAGUUGAUUUUAGGUUAUUCGCUUGGUAAGGGUUACUUGUCAAAUCGUUCUCACAUUUAAUUUACAUACAAAAAGGUAAGUCGCGGUUAGAAGUUGCUCCUCAAUCAUUAUAAUUGACUUAUCGGUUGGAGGAGAAAAUCUAUUGUCGUGCAUCAACUAAAACCAAGGCCAAAACUAUUCUUGAAGUUAGAGCGUUGUUUCAUCAGUUUACUCAAUUUUAAUCCCUCUCUUCUAUUUUUCAUAUAGUUCGACACAUGUCGUGGGCAUGAAAGUUGCCUACCACACGUUCUGGUUAAAAUGAACAUCAAUUUAUUCUGUUAUAUUAGCAUUAUGGAAAUCUCUGGGAUACCUGGUCUAUUCCGCUGUUAUACUCGCUAUUAUAUUCUCCGUUGAAUACAGCAGUCGGAAAGUUAAUUUCUCUCUAUGAAAAAUCGAAAAGCUUUGAGAUUUAUAGAAAAUAGGAUUUAUUCUUGUAAAUAUCUCUUUUUUAAAGAAAAUGAUGACAAAAAGAAUUAAUUUUUUAAUGAUGUUGGUAUGGCAAUCCACACGUAAUUUAUAUUGUCAUGAUAUUUUUUGUUUUAUAUGCCAUGUCAACAAAUAAUUUAAAAAUUAUAAAUUAUAAAAAAAUUAAUACAAAAUAUAUGUGGAUUGCCCUGCGCGCUGUGAUGUUUAAAAAUAGUUAGUAUUUCCAUAAACAAAAAAAAAAAAUUGACUCUUCUUGAAAGGUUUGUGGUCAAAUUUGAUUCCUUUUAAAAGGUUGCGGCUCAAAUUUAGCUCAAAAAUGAAAUAAGAGUUAAAUUGAGUAAAACACGUCAACAUUGAGAACUAAAUUUGACAUUACGCCUUGAUUUAUCAAUCUAUUAAAGGCCUAAGUAUUGUGGAAUAUGAACUUAUCGAAUCAGACAAAUUUGGUAUCAAUAAAAACAAUAAAGCUUUUCUCUCUAACUUUGUUCAAACUUUGGCGGAGACAUUCUCUAGUAAAGAUCUUGCUGAUCUGAAUCAUUUCUUGGAAGUUAAAGUCAUUCCAACAUAUCAAGAUUUAUUCAUCUCAACACAAGUAUAUAGAUGUUAUGAUAUAUUGAGCAAAAUCAACAAAUAAUUGUCAAGUGCCAAGGAAUCAAAUACACCAAUGUCUACUUUAGUUUGUUUAAGUUUUCAUGUUGGUCAAGUUUUGCAUAAAGCAGCCUCUAUCAGAGAUGAAGAUAAAUACUGAAUAGAUAUAUUUAUAUGCCUUUUUGUAGCUAAGAAUUUAAUCUUUAUUUGUAAUAUAACAGUAAAGUACAAUGAUCAAGUAUGAGAAUUUUAAGUUUUAAUCAAAUCAACAUAUAUAUAUAUAUCAUACACUUAUUCUAAUCAAGUGGAGCAUAAUCAUACGACUUUUUCACAUUAAUCCAAGAGAAAUGAGUCUGUAAAUAACACCUUAGUAAUGAAUUACAGUAACGUUAAAUUCAGCAAUUGUAUUGGUGGCAUUUACAAGGAUAGGAUUAAAUUGUGCAACCCCUGUUGCCAUCAUGAAUUGUCCUCUUCCUCCGACCACCGCAAGAUCAGGUUCUCCCCUUGAAAAUACGCUUAGAGAGCUACCGUUAAACUUACCAGUAUUAAAUCCAAAAUCUAGGUAUUCCGUGCUCGAUGCAUUCAUUCCAGCCACUGACGCAAUACCCUGAAUAUUUCCAAUCAACUCUGAGUCAGGCUCAGGACCAGUCCUGAGGGGAUCAUUAAU